This 61465-nucleotide long non-coding RNA is filed under the name Coffea arabica (coffee). RNAcentral's name for it is "long non-coding RNA (CARA_LNC003170)". Lineage: Eukaryota; Viridiplantae; Streptophyta; Magnoliopsida; Gentianales; Rubiaceae. The record is from RNAcentral.
AUGAUUUCAGGAGCUAACCGGGAGAAAUAUGUCUUGACACUUAGCCACUAAAACUUGAUUUUGGGAUAAGCGUAGCUUGGCAGUAAAUGAAAUGAGAGUUAGCCAUUGUUGAGUUUAGUGUUCCCAUGCUUGAGGACAAGCAUGAUUUAAGUGUGGGGGGAAUUGAUAGGGUGUUAAUUGUUAGUAAUUUUAUUGUUAAUUCUCCUCUUUAUCCUUGCCAAAUAUUGCUUUAAUUGUCAAUAUAUAUUUAUAUUUGGUAUUUGGAUAUAAUUUCAGAAAGUGGAGCAGAAAAGUGCUAAAAGGGGACCUUCUUGAGAAGAUUUCUCCACACGUGAGAAACUUUCCACAAUCAGCCCAAAUUGUGCAAACCAACGGAAUUGCUGAUGAAGAGUUGCCUUCCUAUUAUUAAGUCCUGGCAAGUCCACUAACAAUAAGAAAUCAAAAGGAGACAAUUCUGCGGGGACCACGUAACAUUGAUUUAGAAAAUGUGUUCUUCUUUUGGGAGAUGUACUCAUUAGCCAUAGGUGGACUUUGAUGAUGAAAGUAGCUUUUCUAUUUGCUUCCUACGUAACUAGUUCUCUUAUGAAAACUAGUGCAGAGGAGAAUUGCAGAAACAAGCUUCAAAAAGACAUUAGACUAGUUUUGGAGUUUGCUCUCAAUAUAAGCUCCGUAGGAGGAUAGAGGAGUUUUUAGUUUUUCUCUCCGAGGGAUGUUCCAGAGGAGAGAAUAGGGAGUUGUUUUGGUUUGUUGAAUUCUAUUGUGCAAUUUUCUUAUUUUCUUCCGAGAGCUUUGUUAUUCACUCUCUCAAUUAUCGAAGAAAGAUGAUGUCUUUAAAUUCAAUUAAAUUGCGUGGGAAUUUUCUUAUGAGGCGUGGCUAAUUUUCUCAUCUAGUCAAGGAUCAACGCGAAGACGCAGUCCCAAAUAUCUGUGAGAUCUAAUUAAUUUUACGUGUUCCUUAAUUUGUUAAUAUUUGCAUGUUUUCUAUUUUAAUUUCCAUGGGAUUGUUUUGUUAAUUGGAUAUCAAGGGCCCGAUGUGCAAUUUGACUUAUUAAUCUCCUGUCAAAUUAAUCAAUUAAAUCCGUAAUUGUUUAGUUGGUUAAUAUUAGUGACAACUAGUAUUUUCACAUACUAGGAGAACAUGCAAUCUGAUUUAAAUAACCCUCGUAGCGUGUUAUUAAUUUGGGUUAGGCUUUUCUAGUUUUUAAUGCAAUUAGGAAAUUAAUUCCUACGGUCGUACCUAGGAGUAUUUCCUGGUUAGAAGUAAUCAACGGUAGUACCUUGGUUAUCAAUAAAUUAAGGAAAAGCUGGUCGUUAGAGUUUAUCGGCGACUAUAACUAGCCUAUUAAUAAAAUUAAGUGAACCUUCUUUGCAUCAAUGAUCGGAUGAAUGGACUGUGUCUGCGUAGUUGUAUCCUUGGCUAGAAUUUAUUUAUCAUUUAUCUAAUUGCAUUUAUCUAAUUGCUAUUUACAAUUGUAUUAAUUAAUUAUUUAUUUUUGGUUAAAUUAUUUAAUUAUUUUUAGUUAAAUUGUUUAAUUAUUUUUAGUUUAUUUCUGAUAAAAAAUCUCCCGUGUCCUGAACUUGAAAGGAAUCAAAUUUUUCCCAGUCCCUGUGAAUUCGACCCUACUCACUACUAUACACAGAAAAUUCAUUUUUCUCGAGUAGGUAUUUAUUAUUGCACAGGCUCGACACCUGCCAAAUAAAGAGAUUUUUUAAAGCAUUCAUAUGAAAUUUUAUAGCUGUUCACUUAUCUGUAGAAAAAGAAACCACAAAUAUCUCGAAUUUAGGUCGACCUAAUACAAAACUAGAAUAAUGUGCAACUUAAAAAACUGCAUUGAUUCAGAACAUUUAACUCUCAGAAGAAAAAUAUGAGAUCCCAAGUUUAUAUGAACUUAAAUUUGCACGCUGAGAUUGGAAAGUUGGAGGAUAAUUUCUCCUAGUUAUUAUAAACAUCAAAAGCUCCACAGGCUUUGGAAGUAAAUUUAGCAGAAUUUAAUAAAAAGGUUGUUCAGUAACUACAAGAUAAUACAUUUAACGAUCAUUUGCAAAAUCUUCCAUAGGAAUUUAUAUAUCAUACCUGAAAGCACCCCCAGAUGCUGUUAAAAUGAUACGUCGAAGAGCACCCUCAGGCAGUACACUGAAGCACAUUUUAGGUCUUUUUGUUAGCAAGUAUUUUUCACGAUUACAAGGGAAAUAAGGGGAAAUGACAACUGAAUAAACAAGAUUUCGGACUUAACAAUUAUCAAUUCAAAGUAUGAUCUAAAAGCAACUGGACACAGCAAAAUACAUAGGUGCACACCUGGAAUAUGGCAGAAUGUUCUGAAUCCGCAGGAAGAAUCUUCACUUGGUGCUUGUGCGCAAGAAGAAGUACAAAAGGACCACCAGCAAUUAACGUCUCUUUGUUGGCCAAGCAAAUGUCUUUCGCUUCUAUGGCAGCCACAGUCGGCUGCAAUAAGGAAUAAAUCAUUCACACGUCAAAGAACUCGUUACUAAAUCAUGAGCUUCACAAAUAGAACAGGAAAUCCCCACGUGCAAAAGCAACUAGCAAAGAAAGCAAAAUAGAUGCUUACUCAAAGCGAUAGUAAAGCAUAAGCAAGCUGAACUCUAGUCGUGUCUCAAGCAGAUGAUCAUCCAUGAAAAUUAAGAUUCAUGUUCUAAUGCAAUGUUUCUUUCUUGUUUCUAGAGCCUGUCUUUUUUCAAUUGAGUAGUAUUAUUUUGAAAGAGAGAUUUCUGAGUGCUCCACUCUCUACCAAUCUUAAGUAUCACUGAUAAUCAGUAAUUUCUCAAACUCAUCAACUUGAAAAAAGAAGUUAUCGCACAUGAAAAUAUGUGUCUGAGUUAAAAUGCAUAAGUUUUGGCAUUUGUAUUGCAUGUGCAGCAUAAUCAUUUCAUCUAAGAUGCUCUGAGGUCUGUCUGGUUAAAUUCUCUACAGGCACUUCUGGAUAACCCGAGACUCUGACAUGACAACUGCAAAUUAUCCACAAUUAGGACAUGUAUAAACAGUAUCAUGUGUUUGUGCAGACACCAAUAGGAUGCUUCUUCUGCGUGAUUAAUAAUGCUUUAAAGUAUGCUUUUUACAAUUCAAUAGUAUCUUUAAUAGUAUAGAUGCAUGUGCAGCUCAGAUCUGGCUACCAUUGACUGGCUUUUCUUUUUCUUUUUCUUUGUUUUUACUUUGCUUGGUUAGUUGUUGAUGAUUGAAUGGUGGUUUAUUUCUCAUCUAUUAGAAAUAGGGAGAAUUGUAGUUUUAGUCCUCAAUGUAUUACCCAUGCAUGGAACUAGUCCUCAAUCUAUUUCAAAAAGUAAAUUUAGUCCCUAAUCUAUCCAAUUUUCCAUAAAGGUGGAUAAUUGACAGAUUCCUUCCAGUUGAGUAACGGAAUGUGGCGCGUGCACUCACUGUACUAGAACGUGCAAGUGGUUUCAAUUCUCCCUUCUAAUCUAACAUACAUGCUGGAACUAACAUGUUAUACCCUGAGUUACACUUCAAUACAAAGGUUUGGAAUCAGAUUUCUUGAAGAACCUGCAAUGGUUCCUAAUUCUUUCUCUCGGCUGCAACAUUAAUUUCCAGUAGCAGCAGCAGCCUUUCAUUUGAUAUUUUCUCAUUAGUUCUAUUUCUGUUUUAUGUCCUAGCUGAUCUUGCAAAGGAUACCUAUUCAACUACAGAUUAUCCUAAGCUAAACACGGAAGUUUUUGACCAGAUUCCAAGAGGAAACUUAAUCAAAUCCCAUGCCGGUGCAAGGCUGCAAAAUCUGACGCAAAGCAACCUGCCCCAGAUUUCUUUCAUGCGCACGUUCAGAUUCUUGCAAGUUACUACGGUAACCUACUUUUACUACUUAAAGUGAACAUAUUCAUACAUUCCUAGCUACCUGUUUCCAUCCUCCUUUGAUAGAACCUGCACAAUCCGUACCUGUUUCUUAGCUAAAGAGCAGAAUUUUCUUUUAGCAAGCUACCAGUUCUGAGCAGGAUUUCUCGCAACCAAACUUACUUUCCUUGACUAGAAUCUAGCAUACUAUAUACGUACUCAAGGGCUUCAGCUGAUAAAAAAAAAAAAAUUAUUGCGGUCAUUUUACCUCUUUCUUUCCUCUUAGAGUUUGGAAAAUUGCAGACUGCACUUUUAAUUUCCUGCUUCGGUUCCCAAAAUUGCACCAGCCUCUCCUUCGUACUCACUUUUGGCUCACGGUUUUGAGGUUACAAGCUGGAGCAAUGAAGCGAGCAAAUGUCUAUCUUUCUCUUCCUCACUUUCUCGGUUGCUGGCUGGAAGCAAGGAGUAACCAGAAUGUUCUCUUUUCCUCUCACUCGGUUGUGUUUUGAGAUGAAGGGGUGUGGCUGAGUUUCUCUCUCAGUUUUGCUCCUAGUGUUUAGUUGGUAAGAAAAGAGUUGAAGCGUGCUUCUUCACUCGGCCACCGCCCAAUUAAUAUAUCAGUUUCUAUUGCUCCAUUCACUCACCGCUUGCACUUAGCUAAUAAUUGGCAGCUACUUUCUCCUCCUAAAUUCAUUUAUCUCGCUGCUUAUAGGACUUAAGAAUCAAAAGGUAAACAAUCCACUCGGUGGUCUCUUUUUUUUUUUUCAAUCGGUGCUGCCAGCUAAGCUGCUCACUCGACCGGUUGGACCGCGAACCGGCCAUGUCACCGGUCCGGUCUAAUGCUAAAGCCGGAAGCUCAUGAAGAACCGUUGAAACUCGGACGAACCGUGUGAACCGUGAACCGGCGGUUUUUUAAAUUCUUCAACUAAAUAUUAAGAAUGGUGUAACUAUGAUUCGAACCUGGGCCUCCAAGUUUGGAUAUGACAAUCUUAUUGCUGGGCUGUAGUUAAGUUUGUUGAGAAUUCUACUUGACUAAAAAAUAUAUUAAAACAUCAAGUUCUUCUCUUUUUUUUUUUCAAUUUUUUCUUCUUAACCAUUUUUAACCCAAACAUCCACAACAAGAUUUUCUCAAGUCUUCACCAUUAUUAUCAGGUUAUUAUCUUUAGCAGAUUGUAAACAAGUUGAAAAUUUCAACUUUUGUUGUUUUCCAACAUCUUGGUAAGUUUAAUUUUUUUUCUUUUCAAGGUUUUUUUUCUAUAUUAUUAUCUUUAGUUGAUUUUUUUGCAUUUUCUUCUUUUUCCCCUCAAUUUUCAUAUGUUUCCCUCAUUUUUGUUUUAUUUUUAUUUGAUUAAUUAAGGAUGAAAUUUUUGCAAAAGUAGUGCACAUCCGUGUAGGAAUUGGGUAGGAAUUACAAAUAAUAACAUUGGACUGAUAAAAAAUAUGGUAGUUGGCACAUAAUCAAAGCUAUUGAUAAUUGAAUUUAAAAUAAUUAAUGGUAUAGGAUCAUUGAAUUUAAUAUAACAUGUUAAUUAGUAAUGUUUAGUAGCAAUUAAUUUUUUAUGUGUUUAACUGUAUAUUUUUUUUCAAAAAUUUUAGUUUUUUUGAGUUUGAGCAAUUAGAUUUAUAUUUUUAUAAUGAAAUUUUAACUUUUUCAGCUUAAGUUGAUGAAAUUGUGAAGGUGGUGUGGUUGUUUAUCAUGCCAUUGAUAAAAGUUUGCUAUUCAAAUGGUUUGUCUUAACUUGAACUGUUUCAUGGAUUUUUUUAAGGGUUGUAAAAGAAUUUCAAUAUUUAAUUUAUUUAUUUUUUGUGUUUUUAUUUGUGAUAAUUGGUAAACAUUUGGAUUGUAUCUAUUUAUGUUUAUAAUGAAUUUAUGAAAACUUGUGGUGAAUUAUGAUAUUUUAAUUAUAUUUAUCAAUCCAUGUUUUAUGUAUAACUUUUAGUAAAUUUAUUAUUAUCAUAAUUUAAAUUAAGUUAUGUUGGUAAAGUUCAAGUGUAGAAUGAAACCUGUUUAGUACUUUACCAAAAAAAAAAAAAAAAAACAGUGAACCUGUGAACCGGCCGGUUGGACUGGUCGGACCGCGAACCGGCCACCUCUCCGGUUCACUGACCGGUCCGAGUUUAAAAACAUUGGUUUCUACUAAAAAUUCUGAUGGUUUAUUCCAGUGGUGCUCACUUAGGCCACCGCUCAAAUUUCUUGUAAAUUAUUUUCUCAUCUUCCCCUCUGCCGCUGUCGCUCUUUUCACCCUUCUGCGACCCCCCUGAAAUGGGCUUCCGGGGUAGAACCCUCCAACUUGACAAUGCUCGAACUCACCAGUCGUGUUUGCCGCCUUUUAGUUCUCGAACGCCAUUCAGACCUCAAGAACCUUUCUUUCCAAUUCUCCCACAAACUCGUUGACACUGUCCUCCAAAAACUGAAGCUCAACCCCUCCGCCUAUCUUCAGUUCUUUGGAUUAGCUUCAAACCAGCCAAAUUACCGACCCCAUUUCAAGGCCUACUGGAAAAUUGUUCACAUUUUGUCCAAGGAUAGAAAAGAACAUAGAUGUGAAAAAAUGAAAAGGAGAGAAAAAGAGAGGAUAGAUUUUGACUUUUUAAAUAGUUUCUUGAUUUACAAACAUUGAAACCACUUGCACAUUCUAGUACAGUGAGUGCACGCGCCACAUUCCGUUACUCAACUGGAAGGAAUCUGUCAAUUGUCCACUUUUAUACAAAAUUAGAUAGAUUAGGGACCAAAUUUACUUUUUGAAAUAGAUUUAGAACCAGUUCCGUGCAUGGGUAAUACAUUGGGGACUAAAACUACAAUUCUCCCUUAGAAAUAUAACUAAAAGUUCAAAAAUACAACUAAUUCCAUAACCAGUAUCAAAACUAUAAAUGCAUCAUCCUUUGAUGGGCCACUGACUGUGCAUACUAGUUAUUUCAACAAAAAUCUAACGCUUAAAACCCGUCUUGACGAAUGCCACUAAUGCCUGUAGUUGCACUAGUUAAUCAAAUCCUUCAACUUCUUCAUGGAAUGCAAAACGGCAAUGACUUCCAAGGUCAUCUUUAUUUAUGAAAUUCCAUUAAAAACAUAUUUAUGUAAAGAAUUGGGUAGUGUAAAACCUUAAAUGAUAAAUAUAUUCAUUCAAACAAUAAUAUGUGCAUUUCAACUGGAGAUUAUUUUGGAAAAAUUUCUUUUGAUUUAUCUAGCACUUAUUUGUGAUAUUAUGUAGGGUUCAUAGAAUUGAACAGCCCUUAACAUUUGAGGCGAUUUGGAUUCUGCCCCUUAAUAUUUUUUCUAAGCACUUUGCCUCCUAGAUUAACAACCAAAGGUAAAGGUCUAGUAAAAACACAUAAUCGCCCUUAAGCUGGCGAUUGCAGUUUUUCCCUACAAACUACAACUCUAGUUGCACUCUGCCCCCAAAAGAACUUUAUACUCAAUUUACCUCCUAAUUUAUGUUGAAGGAUAAGAUUAUCUUUGAUAUUUUACCUAUUCACAGUGUUCUUUUUUCUCCCUUUAUUUCAUUUCCCUCUCUCUUUUAGUUUUUCCCUUAUUUUUAUCAUUAUUAGCAACUACUAAAAAAAACUGCUAUUUUAUUGUCAAUAAUUUUUUAAUCACAAGCUCCAAGUUUUAUACAUGUUUGAAUAAUUUAUUGCCCAAUUAAAUAUGCUUUCAAAUGCAGAAGACAAGAAUACAGUUAUGCUGUAACAUUUAGUUUUUUAGUUGUCUCCAACAUUCUUUCAAGUAUCAAAGGUUAUUUUGUUUUUCUUUUUUCACUAUCAAUAGUUAAUAAAAGUUUUGAUGUUAAGUUUGCUGUAUGUUGUAGUUAGUUUGUUACGUGGAUGACAAAGCAUAUAUAACUUAAAAAUGAAAAUACAUAAAUCUAAAAAUAUAAGUUAGAGGCUCUGUUUUUAAACUGGGAUUGGACCAGCCGGUCGAACUGGGAACCGGCCAAUGGUCCGGUCCGGGUUAACUUUAAAAACCGGAAAAUUCAAAAUUCGGUCAAACCAGGUCAAAACCCGGGUUUGACCGGAAAAAGACCCGAUUUUUUUACUUUUUUUUUAAAGGUCAAAAUAUUUUUAAUAUUAUGUUUUGACCCCUAGGUUGUUAAAAUUUAUUAAUAUAUCUCAAAUAUUUCAUACUUUAUAAAUGUUGUCUUAAAGUUUGGUGUUAUUUUUCAAUUAAUUCCAUAAUUUUAAUUCUAAACUUGUUAAUGCUCAUUAAAUAACAUAAAUUGCUAUUUGAUUGUUCUAAUUUCUUUGUAUUUUCUUGUUAAAUAUAUUUAAAACAUUAAAUACAUAUGAAUAUACCUUUAUUAAUAUUAACAUGUUAUUAGAUAUUUUACAUAAAAUAUUUUAAUUUUUAAAUAAUUUUUAUUUAUGACGUCAUCCGGUUCAACUCCGAUCGAAUUCGGUUGAAUCCAUUGACCCCUGACCCUUGACCUCGACCGAGUUGAUACCCGGUCCGGUUUUGAAAACAUAGGUUAGAGGCUCAAAGGCUCAAAUUAGGCAAUUAUCAAUACUUAUGUAAUAGUUUUGAAGUGAAUAGAGCGGAUGACAUAUAUAUAUAUAUAUGUAUGUAUGUAUAUAUAAAGAAAAAUAAGUGACAGAAAAAACAAAACGUAAUUGAAAUAACAGUAGUGUAAGCUGCCUUAAAAUUCUUUAGAAGGCAAACUGCAAAUAAGGGCAACAUUUGAAAUUAAGGCAUUAUAUAACGGUCAAACCUUAUUUUCACUGCCGAGGAGCUGUAAAGAAGUGCUUGGGAAAUAGUACUAGGUGGCAAACUGCAAAUCACCCCAUUAAAGAAGUCUAAUCAUCCUAUCAUAGAUGUUGAAUGCUAUUAAGCAUAUGAUGUAUGUGAAAUUAAAAAAUAGUAAGAAAAUAAGAAGUAAUGAGAAAACAUAUUUUAAGAAUGUCCAAAAAAAAUUUCCAAAUAAUUUCAUCCUUUUUUUCUGGUUCUUUAUACUUCAUCCAAAGUUACUUAUACAUUUCUUCAAAUUUCUGUGCGCAAUUUAAUCAUAACCAAUUGAAUCUCAAAAUGCCCCAUAUCACGCCAUCAAGUGCCUCUAAAUUCUAACUGCAGCAAUCACUUCUCAAUGGUGCAUGAGAACUCAAAUGGGUAAGAAAUUGGCCUCUGGACUUCACACAACAUGGGCCAAUUCUCCAAGCCAAGUUUUAUUAAGGGAAAAUCGCAUAAAUGGUCCAUCACAUAUUAUAAUUGUACUUUUUUUAUCUAUUACUUUCAAAAUGAAGUAAAUUCAUCCUUCACAUAUUCAAAAUGUACAUUUUGUUCCUUACACUCAUUCCAAGCGCUUUUUGGCUAGGAAAUGUCAUGUGCCACCACGUAAUGAUAAUUUCAAGGGCAAAACAAUAUUAUAUCCUAUUGUCAACUAAAAAUUAAAUUUCUGAAUUUUCCAUGUCAGAAUGACGGCAAAUCUGAAGUCCAAACACAUGUCCUGAGAUAUGUGCUCUUUUUUUGUUCUCUAUGUUCUUCUUUUACUUUUUUAUAUAUUUUGCAUUUAUUUUGAUAUUUCAUCAACUUUGUUUUCACUACAACUUUUAUCCUCACUUUUCCAUUUGUUAAAUAUUAUUUUGGGGUUAACUUUCUUCUUUGGAAUUUUUUAUUUUCCUAUUUUAAAAGUCCUCAAGAAUUUUCAAAAUAACAGUUAAACUUUUUCUUAAUUAUUAGUUUUACUAGAUGUGGUGUAUUUUGGUGAGAAUAGGGUGUGAUGUCUAUUUUACUUAUUUUACCCGUAAAAUCAUUAUCGAAUGGUAGCACAUGACCUUUUUCUAACUAAAAAGUCAUCAAAAUGGAUAUAGGAACUAAAAUGACAUAUUUUGUUUAUCUGAAGGAUGGAUUUUCAUCAUUUUAAAAGUGACGGGCUAAAAAGAUGUAAAUGCAAUAUGUGAGGGACUAUUUGCAUCAUAUUCCUUUUAUUAUGGUCAGCCAUUAAGGAUGGAUUUACAGAGGGUGGGCAGGGGCAACCAACGCCUCCCCUCCCUAUAAUUUUGUAAAAUCUAUAUAGGCCCUUUAAAGUUUUCUAAAACUUAUAAAUAAAGCCUUAAUUUUUAAAUCAAAAUUUGUCCCUUUGCCUCCCCCAAUGUGUUGUCAAUAUUUAAAUCAACUAAGUAAUCUUCUUUGAUUUUUCUUUGAAAAUGAUUUAUAUUUGAAAGAAAUAAAAUUAUAUCCUAUAUUUCUUAACAAAACUGAUCCAAACGAGUUUUCUUGACAACCAUGUUUGGGCCCCUAUUCCCAACCCAUAGACAAGGCACGGACUGCCUCUUAAUGCAUGGUAUGGAUUGCAACUUACAUGUACUAGUGCGUUCCACCUAUUGCUCUGUUCGUUCAAACAAUUCCACAUCGGCUUAUAAUUAAACAACUUGAUCAAUUUUUCAGAAAAUAUAUUGUAUGGUAGUAGUGAUACGAUAAUGCAGUAGGAGAGCUGGCAAUAUAUGAAGUGUGGGGGGAUUUUGGGGAAUGGGAGAAACUCUUGAAAAUUAAAUAUAAAUAUUUUGCAACUCUUCAAAAAAUAAAUAUUGAAUUUUUCUAUAAGAAAAAGUGAAGGAAAUUAACCAAUAUAUAGUAUUAGAUUAAGAUUUUAAUAGAACAAGAGAAGGCCUUCAUAUAACUAUUCUAAAAUUUUAUAGGGGUUAAAAGAAGUUUCCAAAAUUUAGAAGGGGCUCUUCCGGUAAAUGGUAAGAUUUGAAAACGUAAGUACGAAUGACAGAGGCGGAGGAAGUUAGCUAUGUUCCAAUCUAUCUACAAUGAAUACUAAAUUAGUUCUUUGUACAAAUGUAUUGAACAAAUAAUGUAAAGAAUAAUUAGUUGAAACUUGAAAGGUGAAUUUAGCCCCUUACUCUUCAACUCGCCAUUGAGAUAUUAUGAUGAGAGGCGCUUUGAAAUUGAGCAACAUUAGUAACGGGACAAAUUUCAUAUGUUCAUGUACGUGAGAAUAGUUGGUAAAUCUGGAAUGUGUCCAAGCAAUUAUAUUGUAACUAGCUAAGAAGCAAUGCCUAGGAACCUUACACAAACAUAUAUAUGUAUAGGGAAAAGACAGAGGAGGAUAUAAGACAAUUGCAGUAAAAGCCAAAAAGGAGAAUAUAAAAGAAUAGGAAAACGGCAAAAAAAAUAAGAUACACAAAUAAUAUACUAAAAUCUCUUGAACUGACAUAAAUAACCUUACAAUUAACAAAAUUUGUAAACCUAUUACAGACCAACGGAGUUGAACUAGUAUACCACUUUUGUGACUUAAGUACUUAUUUGAAUAAUAUAAUUGUUGAGUCGACAAAAGGUCAUAAUCAAAAGGGUUUAUCUGCACUUAUACUAACUAAUAAAAACUCCCCAAAAUAUCGUAUUUCUAACUUUUUAGUGGAAAGAUUACACAGUGUCUUUCUAUUUAACACAACUUCUUUAUUUAACCUUUGCUCUUACAAAUAAUUUCUUUUCACAAUGAAUAAAAAGAUUUAUGACUCAAAGAAAACAAAAAUUUGCAUUCCUACAGAACUUGUUGGUUAUAAUUAGAAUAUAAGUUGAAAAUGAAAUUUAGGGUGCAUCCAGUUUUAAGUUUCUAGUCCGAUAAUGGUUGGGAAGGACACUUAUGAUAAGGAAGAAAGGAGAAGAAAAGGCAAAAGUGUAAGACAAACAAAAAGUCAAGGAAAAAGAAAAAAGAAAUAUAUUGAUUAAUCUAAUUGGCUGUGCCUUUCAUAUUUUAUAAGUUUGAUACAUCUUGAUUUUUUGGUUUUCCCCAACAUGUCUUUCUUUUUAUUUUGACAGUGCAAUGCAUUUUUAAACGUUCAAAGGCAAAUGCCACAAAUCUAAUAUUUAGAAUUAAAAUUAAAGAUAUGGAUGGUGAGAACAUACUUAACCUUGAAGGGAAGUGGGCUGAGAGAGGUGGUGUUAUUACAUGACAUACAGUCAAUAAGCCAUACAGAUUAGGCUAGUAUCCCUCUCCUACGUAACGGGUAUUUUACCUAAAAAAGGGCAAAAUAUAUAUAUAUAAAAAAGACUCCAUAUAAUUAAGCUAACCUGUGAAAAGCAUUUUAUGGUUUCAAAUCAUACAUUCUGGUUUCUCAAGAUUUGAACUAAUUUGAAACAACAAUAAAAAUCAUCAAAACUAAUUGAGGCAGAUGAAAUGAUAGAAUUAUCUUAAUAUAGGGGGGGAGGCCCGCGCAAUGCGCGGGAGUGGGGUGCCUGUGGGUCGCGCAAUGCGCACUCCAUAAUGCGCGUGGUGAGAUCUAUCUAACCUUCGUAAAUAAUAGUGAAGAGAGAAAAGAUGGAAGUUGUAACUGAGAAGCCGUACGAAAAUAAUAGAGAACCACAUCAUAGUAUUAUAAAAAACCAUAGCUUAGAUCAGGAUGUUUGAGUUCAUGACCAUACGGACAGGGAUAUAGGCCCAAUGAUAGUUUCAGAUUUAGAUUAAAUGCUCAGUGGCUCCUUUUCUAAGAAGGUAUAAUAGACCACCUUGCACUUAACCUAAUUUGAAACAGUCUUAUUUUAGAUACUUCUAUUUACAUAGAACAGAUAAAGGAAAAGUUCAGCCAAGUUUGUCCGUUAAAGUAGUAGUACUUAGGAAUAAUGAAGAUCCAUUCGCAAAGGAUAUAACUUCAAGGAUGGGCUUUGGCAGUUUAGGUGCGGUGUUUCUUAGUGGGGUUGACUCUGAGUUUCAUUGGGGCUGCUGCAACUGCUGCCUUUUUCUUCUUAUCUUCUGUGUUAGAAGGACUGAGUUGAUCCACUCCUUUGCUUUGUGUUUCUCCUUCCAUUAUGCUAUCAACUUUUUCUAUUGCCAUAUUUUCAGCCAUGUCGGUAACAUUCUUUUUGGAAUGUUCUUCUUGUGCUGCUGCCCAAGUGGAUGCUGUAGCUUUGUAGUUGGUGAUAUAUUUGCUGAUGACAUAGUUUUCUUCUGCAGUAGCAUUGUUGAUAUGGGCAACUAUGGCAUUGUACUUUUCUGAGCUCCUGGAACUGUGGAUUGUAUUUGAUUUCUUGACCAAGCAAACUAAGUUUUUCUGCUUGAUGAAAUCUGCUAUAGUGGCGUACUGGACAUUUCCCUGUAGGAAGAAUAGAGACUUUAAGUAUUUAUUUGAAGUGAGCAGAAUGUUGCAAAGUAGUUUUGAGUUCGAAUGUACCUGCUGCUCUUGCUUUUGGAUGUCACUUAUGCAGAAUGGGAGGAGUUGUUCAGCAUCAUCACCACUCAGGUCAAGAGUUAUAGCACCACUCAUAUCACUAAUUUGCACUGUUAGUCUGCAGCUGUUUUUGGGUUCAUGUUAUUAGAAGCUUUUUUGGCAGCAGGGGUUGUUAAUAUUAGAUUAAGGUAUAUGUUUACCGUGGAGUGAGACGGAUGCGCUGGUAGCAUGAAGUGCAGGUGAUCUCGCAAUCUGGCCUUGCUCUGAUGUAUUUGUAGCAGUGGGGGCAUGAAUGGUACCAUAGCUUUUGACUUCUAUCUAGAAGUUUUGGUAUGCCUCUAAUCCAAUAGGGCCUUGCCUGCAAUGAAUGAGCAUUGUAUUAUUACAAAGGCUCGGACAAGUAUACCAAGUUUGCUAAUAGUAAUAGAAGUCAAAGUAGAUAAUCAAUUUUGUAGCACUGUUAACCUAUUGUGUUAAGCCAUUUGUUAACAUCUAGUACGCCAGGCAAGAAUUGUAUUAGGCCCAGAAGACCCUCUUAUAAAAGAUAAUGCAAAGCAUAUGAUUCUUGAAUUUCACAUGGGCGAGAGUUUCAUAAUAAAACUAUAGAAUCCAUCAAGCAAUUAAAAAGAAUUAAAAAGCUUUACGCUACAGUGAGGUUCACAAGAGAGAAAGUACAAUUUGACAAGUAAGAUAAUGAGUAGGGGAAAAAAUGGUAAUUACGCAGUAGCAUUAAAACACGAAAUUCCACCUACAAAGUCACAGAGAUGCAAAAAUACGAAGAAAUGGGACAAACAAGUAAAUAAAAAAUUACUGGGUAAAAUGGGAAAACAGGAGCUACUAAUUUCAUUAACGAGGACAAAAUUACUGGAUGAAAGCCCGUAUAUCCGGAAAAACCAAAUGAAAGGGAGCAUUAAUUAGUUCUACAAAAACGUACAGAUACAAUGAAAACUAAACUGAAGACAUUUUUGCCCAAAACAUUCAAAUCUCAUUACCAAUCAAUCAGGAGAGUAGGGAAUGGUAGUUCAAGCUUGUAGUCAGUAUAAUCCAAUUCGAUAACCCACAAGCCAAUUUUGUAAUGGAAGAGACUACAGACUUUUUGGCUGUUGGCAUGCAUGCAGAAAUAAAGGAUUGUGAGUGAGUUGUAUAUGUACCUCAACCACAGCUGUGAGAUCGCUGAUAGUUAUAACUCUGUCAUCAUCUGGUACAGGUAGGAGUUUGAGACGAUCACCAUAAGUCCGCUCAGCAAUGAAACGCGUGAUUUCCUCUUGAUUGUGACUGCACCUAAUAUUUUAUUUGUUGUAAUGUAAAGGAUAGUAAGCCUUUUUGGUAAUGAAUGUUGAAUAAUUUAUAAUGUAACUAUUUUAAAGUAAAGUUACCAGUUACGCAGGUCAUUGGCUUGCUGAAUUGGAGGAUUGAUUAGUAUGCUGCUGGAGAAUUUGGUGGAUAGAUGCAUGGCUACAAAGUUGACAAUAGCAACAUAAGUUUUUCCUUUUCUGGUUUCAGUCAACUUAGGAUUUUUGUAAAUGGUUUUUAAAAGAGUACGUACCAUGGUAAGAUGUCACUCGGACUCGAAGCGCUGCAACCACAGGUUGGGUGUGGAUCAUAUCAGCUAUGUCUUGUCCCUCUUCUGAUUCAUGCUCUCCCCAAAGGGUCAGUACCAUUGGGUGCGACAUAUGAUCUGUAAGAAUGAUAUCCCUAGUUGGUGUUCCACCUCUGAUUGCUUUCGGGUGCACGUGAAUUGCUAUUCCAAUAAGAUCUAAUAACCAGAGUUUGAUAUUAAAAAGUGUAACUAUGACUAUGUAAAUUAUAUGUUAAGGUAAAUCAGGAAUGGUACCUAUUUCAUCAGUUGUGUCAAUGUGCUGAUAAACUGAAUCGUAGUCAGCAAAGUUAAACACAUUAGGUAUCAGAGGGGGGUCCACUUCAUCGAUUUCUUGGACAAGCGUGGAGUUGUCAAUGGUCCAUGAGCACUCAUUUGGGUACGUACUGUACCUUGGCAACACAUUUUGAAUCCUAGCAUUCGAUACAUAAUAUCUUCGAUAUGGUUCAAAGUACUUCCUGAAGAACAUUAUAUCUCCAGCAUAAAUUAGAGCUUGAGCAGUUUGACCCUGUAAUUUUGAAUACAGUAAGUGCUAUGGUAAUUAAUUAGUUGUGUAUAGUGCCAAAGUAUGCAAUGAUAAGCUAUAUUACCUGACUAUCAACAAACACCAACUUUUGGUAGCGUUUUCCAUUUCUUGAAACCUGAACCUUUUGCUUUUCAAUCACUUGAACAAUGGCAGUCCAGUUGUCCAUGAGAGGUUGGAGUUCUGUGAAGUUUACCAGGUUGCUUUCCAUUUUUUGACGUUUGAAGAGUGCUGCAGACAACUACCACAAAAUCGAAGGAUUCCAAAGACAAGAGUUACACUCCGAAGUAGUAAGUUCAUAGAAUUUAAAUAUAAUGUAUUACUAAGACAUUUACUGGUACUUUAUUUGCUAUUUACAUAUAACAGAGUACUGGAAUUAUUGACAAGAUAGCUGCAAUACAUCCUUGUAAACUAUAUUAGGAGUCACAUAAUCUAAACUUGAAUCAUAUACAGGAGGUGUGAUCAAAAUUUUAACAGAUUUGCUAUUUUUAGCUCUAGAUAAUGCAACAUACAGCUGCCCAUGUGAAAAAACAGGUUCUCGCAAAUAAAUGCCAACAUAAUCUAAAGUUUGCCCUUGAGCUUUAUUAAUGGUCAUUGCAAAACAAAGUCUUAUAGGAAAUUGCAUUCGUUCAAAAGAUAUAGGAGAAUUAGGGUCAUUUUCAACACGAAAGCAAAUUCUAUGUAGAAAUACUUGCUUCCCAGCAAAUUCACCAGAACUUAUGACUGCAUCUAUAAUAUUGUGUUUAAGUGAUUUGCAUAGAAGUCUUGUUCCAUUACAUAGACCUUCUGGUGGGUCAAUGUUUCUCAACAACAUUAUUGGUGCAUUUUCUUUCAAUGUCAAUCGAUGUGGAGGAAAACCAUUUGGAGUGUGGCUAUUCAUGAAGUCCUCUAAAAUUGCUUGCUGCGAAUUAUCUAAACAUUUAUCUCUGCUUAAAUAGUCAAAUGGGGUUCCGGGAAAUUCCUGUAUCAAUUUUUCAUUGAUCUGAUCUACAAAAUCAUUUUUUGUAGUUAAAAUUGCUCUAUUAAUUAAUGAGUAUGUAUUUUCAGAAAAUAUGUUGAAGUUUGGAUAGACAGUUGUAAUCAAUUGAUUUAUGGAUUCUGCUUCAUUUGUAUAGCGAAGAAGCAAUGCUUGAGAGAUGUGAAUACUUUCAUUUUUAACUGUGUUUUCUGUUCCAUUACCUAUACGAAGAAGGUACUUGCUAAAAUCAGGAUCUAAUCUUGCUCUCAUGUUUUCCUUCAAUUUUAAUUUCUGCAGAUGAGGCCAAAUAUAAGAUUUUACAAGGCUAGCUUCGAUAAAGUCUGAUUUUGACCCUUUUACAACUACCGGCAGAACUUGCCUAAAAUCACCACCAAAUACCAUCACUUUUGACCCAAAUAAUUCAGAGUUAUCCAUUAGGUCUCUAAGUAAACGAUCUACUCCCUCAAUUCCUGCUCUAUGUGUCAUAGGCGCUUCAUCCCAAAUGAUCAAUUUGGCUUGCUGUAAUAACUUUGCCAAUGAGCUUUGUUUGCUUACUUUGCACAUGUUGUUAGGAUUCAUGUCUAAAGGAAUUUUAAAUCGUGAGUGGGCUGUUCUACCUCCAGGUAAGAUAGAAGCAGCUACUCCACAAGAGGCCGUUGCCAAAGCUAUACAUCCCUUUGAUCUAACUGCAGCUAGUAGUGCACGGUACAAGAAUGUUUUCCCUGUUCCCCCAGGCCCAUCAAUAAAGAAACUUCCUUUGCUGUGUAUAAAAACAGCAUCUAUGAUAGUAUCAAAUGCUACUUUUUGAUCCUCAUUUAAUUUAGAGAUAGCAGCAAUAUCUUCUUCAUUGACUUUAAAGUUUAGCUCAGAAUUUGUGUCUCUUGUACCUCUAUCCAUUUCAUCAAACUUUAAGAUUCGUGGUACUAAUCCAUACAUAUUAAUGUUUUUUCCCAUUGAUUCUAAGAACUUGCUAAUCUCAUAGAGAACUUUAUGUUGGACCUGAUCGUUUGACAAAUUCAAAGUUCUAUUGAAAUCUUCUGACAUAGAUUCUUUGAAUUUUAACCAUAAACUUCUUGGAUCAGCAGGAGUGAAGUAAACUAAUAGGGUAGCAAAUAGUCUUCUAAAGCUAUAUGGCAUGUGGUAUAAAGCUGCUUCUUCUAGGCACUGCUCUUGAGGGUUAUUGGAUUCAAAUAAUCCUCUCAUUAUUGCUGCUUCUCUAAAGGUAUUAACAUAAACACCAUCGACAGUUUUCAGGUCAUCAAAUGAUGUUGGCCCUUUUACAUUCAAUAACAAUAAUCUUAAGAAGUACCUCUCACCCUCACUUGGAUUUGCUGUAACAAUUCGGCCUAUUGAACCUCUUUGUUGCCUAAUAUCCCAUAUGCGUUUACCAGGUUUCCACACAAAAUGUUCAGGAAAUUCUUUGUAUGUGCAUUUCAAUGUUUUGGCUCUCUCAUCAGUAGCAUUCAUAUGGAAAAAUUCAGUUAGCAUACUUUUCUUAGCAAAUUUACUUUUCAAAAGAUCUCUAAGAUCAGCAUCAUCUUUGAAGGUCAGAGAUUGGUAAUUUUCAAGAUGUAGCUGAAGGUUAAUGACAGCAGGAUGUGUUUCAAAUAAGGGAAAUCUGUAAAUUCGCCAAAUGGCUUCAAUAGGAGAAACCCAUCUUGCUGAUUGGUACUCCUUAAUUUCAUCUAUCUCUUUAGAUCUGUCAUCUGAAUUCACAGCAAAGUGUAUUUUAUCAUGUCCCUUAUAUAUGUACUUAUAAGUAUACUUGACUACCUUUAUUGUUGAGCAAAUUUCAACAUUCAUAUGGCAAUUGAAUUUUGCUAACAAGUAAGGAUUAUAUGGAACUACCCAUCUAUUAUCCAAUUCAUGGCCUCGAACUUUUACCUUUUCUCUAUUGCUCCUCCGCCUAUAUGUUGGAUAAGAAUUUUCAGAUUGUGUAGUUUUUUCUGCCCACUGUUUAGGAUAAUGAUUUUUGCAUUUUUUAACUGUUGUACCUUGCAUACACACAUUAUCUGCAUUUUUUUCGCCACAAGGACCAUGCAUCAUGUGCUUGCGAACCAUUUUAAACAAGUGUGGAUGCUCUUUUUUGUCUGGAAUCUCAGCAGAAACUAUGUGAUCAUAGGAUUCCGUUGAAUAUAAUUUAGACGCUGGGUGUAAAAUUAUUAAGAAAUGUGCAUGCGGCAACCCACGUUUUUGGAAUUCAACAACAUAGGUGUAAGCAGCUACUUUACCCAAUACCUCUUUUUUAAACAACUCUUCUUUUAAAAUUUCUAAUUUGGCAUGAAAAACUCUAGCAGAAAGAUCAACACGGUUUUGAGACUCAUCAGUGGGCAGUAAGUUUUCUUUUAUUUCUGGCCAUGAUGGGUUACAAGUCAUUGUUAAAAAAAUGUCAGGUUUUCCGAAUUUUUGAACUAAGGCCAUAGCAUCAACAUACCUUCUUUUCAUAUCACGAGGACCUCCUAUAAAAGAUGCUGGCAAAAUUACUCGUUGCCCUACUUUUGAACCUCUACAUUGGCCCUCAACUACAGAAUCCAUGACACCCUGUAAUUGCUCAGUCCUAAUUUGUUGUUGCCUAUGCCGGAAAAAAUCAAGCCUUUGACUCUCAAUUUUUACGUACAUGUCCACUACAUACUGUUGAAAUGCACGGGCAGUAUUAAGAAUACUUGGUUUAUUUUUCUCCCUCAUCUGGAACCUAUAUGCAUAGUAUUCACGCAUGGACACAUUCUCCUUUGAAUUCUCAAAGUUUUUGAAAGCUGUUUCAAAAAAUUUUAAGCUUCAAUUUACAUUUGGUAAACUAAAAUUGUAUUCAUAAAAUUUGUAUUAUAUUUAAAAACAACUAACCUUUCUCUUCUGAUUCUAUUAUAUCUUCGGCAGAUCUGAAGCUUGUUAAAGUUGCAGUCUGUUGAUGAUUUCUAACUGACCUUUUCCUUUUUUUUGGAUUACCAGUGCCAGAUCUCUGAAUUCCAGGUUGCCACCCUGUUUCGCCAAAGGGAAAUAGAAGUGGAUACUGCAAUGGAUCAUAACAGCCAUAGUAAUAUUGAAUUCUACGGCUUUGACCCUCUUUUGUGUAUACUUGAAUGUGUCUAGCAUAGCUGUCCUGUGAGUUUUCACCUUCAACCCACAGUGCAGCUACUUGGGAUACUGUUGGCUUGUUAAAGACUCGCUGAUCAGUUUGACAGUAAGAUUUCAGGACUAUUUGAUAAUUGUUCAAGUCUGGAACAUGUCUCAGGCUUCGGAAAAAGCAGGCAUAAGGGUUACUUUUCAUGAGUUCCAUGAGUUUCACCACUAUGCUCUCAGUUAGUUUUGUUGAAAAAGCCAAUCGAUUUGCGAUUUCAUGUUCAGUAUCAUGAAAGUAUAACUGCAAAAACAUUCCCGAUCCUCCAUGGGGAAUCAAUUGAUUUAUAAAAUGAUACGUUUGGCCCUGAAUUUUGAAAGUAUAUAUUCCGUUUCUUCUUUGGCAAAGCGAUUUAUCAUAGUUAACUCCAAAAGAGGUGAAAGCGAACAUACUAUUGUAUGUUCUUACAUAGGUUCUGAAACAAAUUGCUUCUUCAGUUUCACCAGUAAAUAGCUCUAUUAAUAUGUCUGGCAUUUUAUUCUCUUCUAAGACUACUUCUCCAUCAGAGCAACAAAAGUUUGCAGACUCAGAAUAAAAUUUUUUGGCUCCGCAGUACUUGCAAUUCUGUUGCUCUGGUAAUCUAUCAGCUUCCAAGCUUAUCGAAGAUAAUGCCUCAAUUCCCGUCACCACCCUUUUAUGUUGUUUGCGUACAUUGUUUUGUUUCCUAAUCGAAGCAUUUUGGUCUUCCCCACAGCUUUUAACUACAUGAAUGGAUCAAAAAUGUCAUUAAUAUGAUUUUUAAUAUGUUGAAGUUUUACAACUUGUUUUAUUAUGUAGAAGGAAUAAACCUGAAUUCUGUUUACACCUUCGUCUUGACAUAUGUUUAGCUUCUCUUGAACGUUUAGGUUCAACUGAAUAUCCUAUUUAUGCAAUGGUGAUCAGUUUUUGUCAAUGGGAUCGCCACUGUUAUAUGAUCAACAAUGGUGAUCAGUUUGUUAGCUAACCUGUUAGAUCCUCCAUUGCUUCAGAAAGCAAGCUAUAGCAAGAGUUGCAGAUGGGUGGUUGGUCUACAAUAUUGGCAAAUAAGGUGAUCACUUUUAGCUAGUAGCUAGGGAGAAAUCUCGGUUGGUAAUGUUUGUUUCAAGAGGAAAGAAUAAUUAAACUUAGCAGUAGGAAACAAUAACUAAACCUGAAGAUUGGGUCGCUUUAGAAUGCUGACACUUUUUUAUCCGUCGAGCUGUAGAAGUAGAACCUAUACAUUUUCCACAGGAUGUUAACUAACAUAUUUUGUAGGUCUCUUUUAAUAUAUCUUUGGAUAUUUGUGAAUUAAAAAUGUUUUUAAUUCUAUGUGGUUCACCUUUGUGAUAUGUUGAAAAUUCUGAAACAUGCUCCUUCUGCCUUCGAUUACCUUCAACUUUGUCUCCAGGAACUAAAUAGAUUGUGAAAAUGUUAUGCCUAUAUGACAUCACAAUAGCCUAAAGGAAAAGGGAUUACAAAAAUAACCUGCCUCACUGUGGUGCUUAUGACCACAGUUAGGUUCCUGAAUGCGAAAAGCCUGCUGUAACAGUUGCUUAUUACUGGUGUGCUCAUCAUCUGAGCAUAGAGAUACAGGCAAAGGUAGUUUAGUUUACAGCCAUACUUGUUGGGAGUUAUUAUAGAGGUAGGUGGGCAUCUAAAUAUUCACUAUAAUGUAGUAUAUACAGCGCGAUACCUUUUCCUCUCAAUACUAACGAGGAGGUAAAAGUAGUCUUUGUCUUUUCUUUUUUACUUUUAUAGGUAUCACGGCGUUUUUUCCGUUGGAUUUCUUUCUGCUCCUCAGUUAAAGAGGCAUAUCUUUGUCUAGCCUUUUCGUUACGUCGAGCUUUUCGGUCGAACAUUUUAGAAGGAUCAAUGUUUCGAUUCAUAGUGGGUUGCUAUGGAAAUGUUGGGUCAACUAACAAAAGUGGUUGGAACUUGAGGUUUACACAAACUUGAACAAUUCGAAUGAAUCCUAAGACACAAGAAUGAAUCCUAAGACACAAGCUUAUUUGUAGUAUACUUCAGCACAGAUUCAGCCUACAAAUAUUAACCACUUUUUGCUACCGAAUGAACUGCAGCUCUUUUAAAAUAAGGAACAACUACAAUACUAAUUGCUUAUGCUUUCAUGUAUAUACACAUGUCAUGAAAUCUACGAGCGAUGAAAGAGCAAAAGAUUUUUUAACUGUACUACAUAAUACUCAAAUCCAAUGUAAACAAAAGAAGAUUGCCAAACAAGCAUAAAUUGUAAACUAACGGAGAUUUCCAAGCAGGCAUGAAUUCAAUGAUAAACACAGUCCACAAAAUCAUUUUUAAAAAAAACAAAACAGCUAUUCCAGCAAGUUUGGAGAAAGGUCGAAAAUGAACUAACCUUUUUUAAAAAGAAACCGAUAAAACUUGAUCUUGAUGAGAAGAGUUUGAGCCUGCAUGACAAAAAAAAUAAUUAACUUGGUAUGAAAGGCCGGAAUUAAUAAACGGACGAAGGAUGCAGAUGAGAACAAACACAUCAAGUCUAAGAAAGCAUGGUAAUUCUUUUUUUGAAAGCAAAAGCCAAAAUCAAAUGGGUAAAAUUACUUGUAUACGAAUCUCACCUCAAUUCCAAGGAAAUUCCAUAUCGGCGACCAAACAUAUCACAGAGAAACAGCUAUAUGUAGCAACAGAUUUAACACCAACCAAUCAUAGAAGGAAAGGAGAGAAACGGAAGAAGAUGGAAGGCUAUGCGUCUAGCAAAUGCGGAAGGAGGAGGAAAGCCAUAGGUGGAAAACGUGGGGGAGCUAAUACUUCAUCUGGUGGCUGUUUAAUAAUUAGAGCCAUUAAGAGGAAUAAAGUGGAAGAAGAAGCAAAUAAGCGGAAAUCAAACCUAAUCAGCCAAGGAAUUAAAGAAGCCCAACAUAAUAAGAGGAACAGAAACUGACAUGGGUGGCAAACAUGGAGAAAUUAAGAGACCGUUUAACAGAGGGAGGUGAAACUGGUGGAAGUUGAAUUAAAAACCUCUCAUAAUAGUCACCAAUAAUCAAAGGGGCUUCGGUGAAAUUUGCAAAGGGGCAAAUGAGAAAACGGUUUUGGGUGGCAGAGGAAGAGAAACAGGGGUCUGACCAUUUAAUGUUAGAUUUGAUUACUGAGGUCCCUUAUUCAGUGCCUAUUCAGUGCUGUGUAAUUAAGCUUAGCACCGGCCACUUCAGGAUUGGCAUACGAAGGAUUAUACUGGUGCAUUUUAUUUAGGAAUUAGUAUUCUACAUAUGGGCUCAUUUGGUAAUAUGAGCCCCUAAGCAAUUAAGAAAGGGACCCAUCAAAAUAAUAAGAGGAGAGCAGACUACAAUGGGUGAUAACGUUGCAAGCAUCAUGGAUAAAAUAGUCAUAUUAACACCAAUCAUUGCAUUAACAACUUGUACAAUAUCAGCUCAACAUCUCUACCUUGUCCAGUUGUCCACUCAAUUGACAACGAUAUCCAAAAAGGGCGGUUGAAACUUAAAGCUUUCUUGCACAACGAAGAUUUUCUUAUAUAUGUAUAGGAUAUUCAAGCAAAACAAACUUUCCAAAGAACCAUCCUAAUUAAUUAAAUUUAUGGAGAAACACUUUAUUGUUAAGCCAACCUAUGAAAGAACCCUCUAUGAUUACUGAUUGUUGUCAUUAGCAUUCUCCACCUUCGAUCGUCCCCUUCCCCUUCACCACAACCCCCUUUGUCCCCUUUUUCCUCCUCUCCCUUUCCCUCUCCUGCACCCCCUUCCCUUCCUAUGCAACCCCUUUCCUGCACCUCCUCACCUUCUUUCUAUGACUAAAUUUAUCAUAGGAGAGAGAGGAUAGGCUUUGAGGAAAGGGUGAUUUGGUCACAACCUCUUCUCUCUCUCUUUCACAACAAAUUAUGGUCAUUGGAAGGAGAAAGGAUGCGAAGAAAUGGCUGUGAAAGGAGAAAAGGGAGCGGGAUGCAAGAAAGGUGGUGAUGGAGAAGAGAAUGGUGGUGGCAAGAGGGGAGUGGUGGUGGAGGAAGAGAUGGGGGUAGUAUUUUAUUUUUAUUUAUUUAUUUAAUGUAUAGAAAUAAGGUGAGUUUAUUUAGGAGUUUUUAUUUAUUUAUUUUAUGUAUAGAAAUAAGAUGGGUUAUAUUUGAAAAUUUUUAUUUAUUUGUUUAUUGUACAGAAAUAAGGUGAGUUAUAUUUGAGAGUUUUUAUUUAUUUUAUGUAUAGAAAUAAGAUGAAUUGUAUUUAGGAGUUUUGGAUUGUUUUUGAGAAUAUUAUAAGUUCUAAGCGGUUUAAUAGGUAUAUCAGCUAAAAAUUUGAUUUAAAAAAUUAUUUUCCAGGUCAAGCACUUGCAAUAGAGGCACGUUUAUCUCAAACUCAUUAAUUUAAAUGAUUUUUUAUUGAUUUUUCACGUUAGUUCAAACCACGAAAUACUAAAUUGUAUGACUUGAAAUCAUAAGAGGCUUUUUCUAUAGGUUUGCUUAAUCAUAAGGGGCUUUCUGCAUUUUACCAUUUUAUUUAACUUUAUUUAACUUUAAGGAUAUGAUAGGUAUAUCAUCAGAAUUUUUAUUUGUUUCCAGUAAAUACUCACAAAAGAGGUGCGUGUAUCUCAAACGGAUUAAUUCAGAUGAUUUCUAUCAUUUUUUUAAAGUAGUUCAAACUACAAGGUAUUGGAAUGUAUGUUUUGAAAUUAUAGGGACUUUUUUGUAUUUUAUCCAAAAAAUUAAAAUGAUAUGUUUCAUCUCACAAAUUUUAGAAAAAAACUAUUUUUUUGUCCUUUACUUUUAAAAUGAAGCUAAUCAAUCCCUCACAGUUUUAAAACAAUGCAAAUCAAUGCCAAAAUGACAACCUGAUAUAGAUUUCAAGGGUAAAAUUGAAACAUCACUUUAGUGUUAACCAAAUCUAAGUAUAUCUGACAUAUACAUCAUAUUAAGUCAAUAGAAAAAGGAAAAAAAUUCAAAAUUACAGCAUAAGAAAAACCUUCUCUCUUAAAAAUUAAAAAUUUUGAGAAAGUGAUAUUAGGUUAACAUAAAAAAAAUUAAAAUUAUGACAUAAAAAACAAACCAUUCACUUUAAAAAGAAGAAAAUUUUAAAAAUUAUAACAUCAAAAACAAACCCUUCACUCUAAAAAGUUUUAAAAUUUUUGAAUUAUAAAAUUUUGAUUGUUUCUUUUUGUGUUGACUAAUGUCAUUGCCUCAAAAAAUUUUAACUUCUUUUAGGCAGAAAUGUUUGUUUUUUAUGUCAUAAUUUUUAUUUUUUCAUUUUAUAGUGACUUAAUGUCAUGUACGCAUUAUAUGUAGCUAGAUUUGGAAGAACUAAGAUGAUGUUCCAAUUUUAUAUCUAAAAUCUAUAUUAUAUUAUCAAUCUGGAACUAAUUUGUUUCAUUUUUAAAAUGUGAGGAACUAGCUUGUAGCAUUUUAAAAAUGAGAGAUAAAAAAUAUUUUUUGCCAAAAGUAAAAAAUGAAAUAGGUCAUUUUUUCAACAAAAAAUGCCAUACACAUUAAUUAUCUUUGCAUGUUAAUUAGUUCCAUCAUCAAUUAUGUGGCAAAUGUUAUGUCAAUAGGUGGGGUAUUAAUGAGGUCAGAUUCCCACUCUGCUCCAAAAAAGAGAAAGCAGAGGUAAAUGAUGGAAAAUUGACUUGAUAAGAGAGGAAUCUAGUACAUUUUUGUUCUUUUUCCACCUAUAAAGGUGCUUUUGUAAGUCUAGAUCCAGAAUUUCUUGAAAAGUUUUGUCUGAUCAGAUUAGUGGUAUUGGUGAUUUAGUUCCGCUCAGUUCCCCUCUUAACCCCUUUGAUCAUCCCCUAGGAGUAGGUCUAAAUUAUAAUAUAUCGUGUCUGAAAAAAAAAACCUAUAAAGGUGCCUUGGUUUCGGCUUGUGGAAAAUUGAUCGUUGCUUGUUCAUACCAGGACCAAGGCUUUACUGUAGCAUCCAAAACCGUGGACCUAUAAAAAUGUCUUGGUCAUGGCCUGCGAAAAUUGAUCAUUUUAUGUUCAUUCCAAGGGCCAAGACUUUGCUGUAGUAUCCAAAACCGUGGACCUGUAAAAGCGUCUUGGUUAUGGUUAUAAGUAGCAAAUAAAUUUAUUUAACUAAAUUUAUUCAUAUCUGUUCACGAAUAGACGAACUAAUAGUUUGAAAAAAAAAACGGAGUUAUUAUUGAACUAAACUAACCAAAUUUCAAUUAAAUUUUGUUAAAUGGAACCUACCAGGUUGCUAUACUACUUAUUGCAAUUUAAAAGUGCAAAUUCAAUAUAGAGAAAUCCCAAUUCAUCAACUAUAUAAUUAUUGCGCAUUCAUGAAUAUAGAUUUUGGGAAUGAAAAUUAAAAAAUUUUAAUAAUAUUAUAUAGGUAUAAAGCAAAACUUGUUUGUUAAUGAUCCACCCCAAAGCCAUCUUGAAUCUAUCAUGAUUCCACUUGAAUGUUUCUUAAAAAAAAAAAAAAAAAACUUGUUUUCAAAUCAUUGUAACUUAGUUUUGAAAAAAAAAAAAACUUGUAACUGUGAAUUAGUGCAUGAGAAAUUUAACUAUUAAACACUAGUUAUUUCAUUCUUCAUCCUUCGUAUACUUUGUUUGAUAUCCACCGUCCCAAUACUAGUAGCGGUAAUAUGUCACUACUACAAUCCUAAUAAUCAUUUCUUUCACGUCUCAGUCUCAGGGCGGGGUGCUUGCGCUAGCAUUCCUUGUCUCGUCUGCUUUACCUUUUUUAUCCCCCUUUUAUCUAAUGGGGAGAAGAAAAAUUAGAAAAGCUGAAAAGAAAUGUAAAAGAGAAGGCAUGUCUCCAGAAAACGUCAAACCUACAAUUGAAAGUGGACGAUAUUUGCGUCGCAUUCUUUCGGUAAUCUCAUCUCAGAUGCAAAAGUUUGCUGGGAUAGUUCUUGGAUUGUGCAGCAACUGGCUCUUUGUUUUUUUUGCUACUACAGGAUAUGAUACCAUGACAAUAAAGUAGACAAGUGGAUCUAGCUUCUUGAUCACUCCAAGCAUUUGAGAGGUUCUUGUUUUUUCUUUUUUUCUUUUUUUCAACAAAUGAUAACAGCUUUAUAGAUAUUAACACUUGAUAGUACAAGGAUUAAUUUGAGAGGUUCUUGUUGAAAGGAAAGAAAUUCAAAGGGCCCUGUUUGUUGUUCAGCUUCUAAUGUUCCUAAUUUUCACCAUGAAAAUUGUUAUUUGGUCUCUGCACAAAGUUGUUGGUAGAUGUCUGCGAUGUUACAAUGAGUACCAUUAAUUAGGUCUUAAAUAUCUUGAAAGAUUUUGCACUCCAAAAGGUAGUAUAAAUAAAGCUAAAGUACAAUGACAGGAUCGACGGGAUGAAAUAACCGAGGAGCAAAAUUCAAUAAUGUGUCCAGAUUAUGAAAUGGAAAAGAUGCGCUUGAUUACUGUAGCUUAUUUAGGUCAGUAGAAAAGGUGAACAUGAUGGAAAGAAAGGAUCUCAGGCAAAUAAUAAAAUGAAGGCAAGGAUAAAGAUGAAUUAUUCCACCGUCCCAAAACACGACAGCAGCAGCACCUUUAUCUUUUUUGGAGGGCUCCCAGACGUCCCUACCAUGUAAAUCGAACUGCUUUCUUAUUGACUGGAAGAGAAAAUGAACCACGUGAGAAUCGAGCCUCUCUUCUGAGAUCAGUUAAAAACAACAGAGAUUAGAAGUUUUGCAGCUGCACCUAACAGGCAAAAGCUUCUCCUCCUUUACUAGUUGUUCAAAGCAAAGCUCACUUUACCACGAUGGCUGACCCUGCUCUCUCUUUUGUUAUUGAGAGAACUGGCGAUCUGCUGAUUCAAAAAAUUGUUUUCCUGAAAGGCGUUCGACGACAAGUUGAGAGACUUCGAAAUGAUCUGGCCCGGAUGCGGUGUUUCCUGAAAGAUGCAGAUCAAAGGCAAGAUGAAGAGGAGAGGAUUCGCCACUGGGUUUCUGAAAUCCGAGAUGCUGCCUACGAUGCGGAGGAUAUCAUUGAGAUAUUUGCCAGCAAAGUUGAGCUCUUCACAAAGGACGAGGGAUUGGUCACCAAAUUGACAUAUUAUCCCUUGAAAAUUGUGAACUUCUACAAGAUAGGUAAAGAGAUUGAGUCCUUACAGAUGAGGAUCAAUGACAUAGCCGACAGCCGUGAAAAAUACGGUAUCAAAAAUCUUGGAGAGGGAACGAGUACACAUGGAGAAGAGCUUCAACGGCUCCGACGGUCCUCUCCAGUUACUGAGGACAAGGAUAUAGUGGGCUUCGUGGAGAUUACAAAAUCGCUGGUGGCAGAACUUUUGAAAGAGGACGAAAACCGCCGUGUGGUUUCAAUCGUUGGCAUGGGAGGUGCUGGUAAGACAACUCUAGCCAAAAAAGUUUAUAACCAUGCUGAUGUCAGGGCAAGAUUCAACUGCCGUGCUUGGGUAUGUGUCUCUUCAAGCUAUGAUCACAAAAAGAUACUAAGAUCAAUCAUAAAGCAAUUAAAUCCAAACGAUGACAAGCUAUCUGAAAUGUUGGAAAAGAUGGAAGUGGAAGAGGAAGUGUUGGAAGAAAGGCUCUAUAAAGAUCUCCAAGACAAAUGUUGUCUUGUAGUACUUGAUGAUGUAUGGAAGGAAGCAGCGUGGGAUUGUCUAUCCAGGAGGGCAUUUCCUGAUGUUGGCACAUCAAGUAGAUUGCUGCUUACAAGUCGCAAUCGGGAAGUUGCCGUACACGCAGAUGCUCUUAGCAACCCGUGUGAGUUGAAAACUUUGGGACAGGAAGACAGCUGGCAGUUGUUUCUCAAAAAGGCCUUAGGUCAUGGGGCUAAUGCUGGGUGUCCUCCGGAUUUGGAAGGAGUAGGCAGAGAGAUUGCAAGGAGAUGUGCCGGUCUGCCACUAGCCAUCACGGUUAUAGGUGGUCUGCUACUGGGCAAGAAAAAGUUGAAGAGUGAAUGGGAGAAAGUUCUCGACAACUUUAGAGCAUACCUAUCAAGCAGCCAGAGUGAAGCAGGGGCAAUUCUGGAAUUAAGUUAUGCAGACCUUCCUCCCAAUCUGAAACUUUGCUUUUUGUAUUUGGGUUUGUUUCCUGAGGACUCCUUCAUUUCUGUGCGCAAGUUGAUCCAUAUGUGGGUUGCAGAGGGAAUAAUGCAGAAAAGAGAAGCAAAAAUUUUGGAGGAAACUGCAGCAUAUGAUGAUGUGAAGCGACUUUGUAGCAGAAAUAUGGUCCAAGUGGCGGAAAUGACUGUUGAUGAGAGGAUUAAAAGCUGUAGAGUCCAUGAUGCACUGCGAGAGCUUGCAAUCAGAAAGGCAGAGGAUGAAAUUUUUUUUCAGAUCCAUGACACCAGAGAUGAUGAAAUAUCAGCCAAAUCCAGGUACCUUGCUGCUCAUAUUCUCCCUCUGGAUAAAAAUUAUUUUGGGUCUUCGGCCCCUCCUCUCCGGUCUCUGCUUUUUUUCAAUAUCCACGGUUACAGGGAAAACAUUAGUCUUAGCUUCAAAAGUUUCAAAAAGCUUAGGAUAUUAGACCUUGAGAAUGCUGAGAUGGGUUAUGAUUUGCCAAAAGAAAUUGGUAAAGUCAGGCUUCUAAGGUACCUCGGUUUAAGACGCACAUCUAUUGGAAGGCUCCCUCAUUCCUUCGAUUGCUUGCGAAACCUACAAACUCUUGACAUACGGAACAUUAACCGAGUGAUAGUUUCAAAUUUCAUUUGGAAGCUUGAAAGUUUACGGCAUUUAUAUGCGUAUAAAAUGGAAUGUGAUGUGCCUCUUAAAAUUGAAGGAUUGAGGAAUCUCCAGACUCUGUCACGCAUACACUUUGAUGACAUUAUGCACAAUAACAUGAUAACUUUGACAAGUCUUCAGAAACUGGGGAUUUGGGUGGAUGACAGAUCAGACAUAAACAAACUCUGCAUGCAUUUAUCUGAGGUUGGAAGCCUAAAGGCGCUACGUCUUUAUUUUGAUGGAGGAAGCGAGUGGCCAUCUCUAGGUGGACUUUCUAAGCUCCAGCAUGUAACAGCGCUUAAGCUGUUCGGGCUGGGUUUGAGAUCGCUACCUCCUGAUUUCCCUUCAAAUCUCUCUUGCUUGUCUUUGAGUUUCACACGUCUCCAGGAUGACCCAAUGCCAGCACUAGAGAAGUUGGGACAGCUGUCGUUCCUCAAAAUGGAAUUUUCAUAUUGGGGACCACAGCUAGUCAUUUCUACGCAUGGGUUUCACCAAUUGAAAUUCCUUGAGCUCAACUUCCAACAUGGUUUGAAGGAAAUAGAGGUGGAGAAAGGUGCACUGCCACAGCUCCAGUGCCUGAGAAUCAGGAAGUGCCUCUCAUUAGAGAAGUUGCCGGAAGGGCUGAAGUACAUGUCUACUCUUGAUAAGCUUGAGCUUGUAGACAUGCCAGAAGAUUUGAUCAGUAGGCUUGAUGUGAGAGAAGUUGCCGGAAGAGCUGAAGUACAUAUCUACUCUUGAUAAGCUUGGGCUUGUAGACAUGCCAGAAGAUUUGAUCAGUAGGCUUGAUGCGGACAUGAUAUCCAGUGUUCCUAACCUCAGAAUAUUUUGACUCUGGGAUUUCGCAGAAGGAAGGAGGUUCAUAUUUGUAAUUCUCGCGCAGAAUGGAAGUUAUGUAGUGUAUUUCAAGAUUUAUCAAAAUACUAGAGAAUUGUUUCCCACACAAUGCGUGGCAGUAUUAGACCUGUUGAAAAGGCCAUUGAUUGUGUAGAGAAUAUUUUCUCCUGAAUGAUAAUAUUUUCUACUGAAUUAUAAUUACAGUAGCGCGAUGCAAGGCACAUUAAAAGGCAUAAAUCAAUAUAUCAUGAUGCAUGCUCCACAGAGGGUCAUAGAAACCUAAACAACAAAGGAUAGCAAUAAAGAACAAUUACGCUCUGUCUUGUUUAAAAAUUGUAAAUCAACAUAACUAAGGCUUUUGCUAAUUUUUUACUACAUCUUGACAUCAUCUCUUUUCUAAGAUAUCACGGUGCAGAUUAUCCAAAUGUGAAUGUUGAAUAUCUUGCAAUUCUUCGAAACUGAUAUUAGUUGAACUUAGUGAAACGCUACCAAAAUCAGGCAACACAGCUCCGGGAGAAGGGAAGAGGAGAAACAAAGUACACCUGAUAUUUGAAGUUAACCAGAAGUUGUAGCGUCAAAGCCCAAAGUGCCCUCAGAGAUGUUCAUGCGAUACCCACUGAAGCAAACCAUUAUAGCAGCAGGGUAAUUAAAGCAAAGUUCAUGUCCAUGCGCAAAACCAGAGAAACAAAUAUAACAAAGAUAGCUGCAACAAAAUGAUUGAAGAGUGAGAUAUGUUAAAAGUCUCUAUCACUCCAGUUAGGAUCUGUCUAGUGAAUAAUCCCCUUUCAAAGAAUUAAGUUAUGGAACUUAGAAGUGCUUAUCUAUGACAGAAAUUAAUCAGUGCAUGACCAGCAUCAACUUCCUAAAACCAAAAUUGAAACAAAAACCAAAUUAUAUCAAACAAAUGAUGAUUGACUGCAGAUUCUACUUAUUGAUCCCCAAAACAUGUGAAAAAUUAAAACCAAGACGGUAGGAGCUGAGAAAGUAUUCUUUGACUGGUCUUUGGUCCUAACCACGACAGUCACUAACACGACAAUGCAGUUAACGGCAAAAUUAAUGUUUCAUAACAUAUAAUUGCUGCAUAAAAUUUCUGGGUUCCUCCUAGCUUAAUGAAAUUGAUGUUUCUAGGUCUAUCAAUGUAUUGUUUCCAAUGGAAUUCAUCCAACAAUAAAUCAACAUACCACAAGACUGGAACAAAAAAAAUUGAUUAAUUAAAAGAUAUAGAGAAGAUACACAAAAUGAUCAAUCAGGCUUAGAUCUGUAACAAGAGGAGGCAAAAUGGAGGGAGGCACCACCAUGGUUGCAAAUUCUCAGUUACAUAUGCGAAUGAGUUCCAUCUCAUCCCAGAAGCCAUCUGGGUUGCCAGCCAAGAUAUGGGUUUGAAUUUACCUCUAUGCAUUUCACCAUCAAUAACUCAAUAAAAGAUUUUCAUCGUUCCUGCCAGGAAAUAUACACAAACCUCAAUGCCUAAAAGCAAAAAUGCGAGAAUAAUUAUGAUUAUAGAGCAAAUACGAGAGUAAGAAAUUACAUGAAACAAUUUAAAAAGGCGAAAUUGAACUAAAUAUACCUCUCUUAGGUCUCUCUCUCUCUCUUAGUCAAAUGACACAAAUGUCCAGUUUACAUGCCAUGGCAGAUUGAGGUUUCUUAGCUGCUGAUAAGUAUGGCCACUAUAAAAACAAAUGCCAACCCAAAAGCUAAUUUACCAACAAAAUUCAAACUAAUAUAGAAAACAUUAGCAUCUAGAUGAAACGAGGUGAAUACGGCAAUCUUAGGGCAUGAGUUUCGGAGCUGACACAAUCUACAUACCAUAUUCAUGAAGAGGAGCAUCAUAAUCAUAGCUAGUGGCAAUAAAUUGUCCACCACCUAUCCUGCCCAAGUUUGUUCCUCCAUGAUAUUGCUAUAAAGACAAGAAACUAAGAAGACAAUCACAAUAGUAAUUUAGUAGGAAUUUGAGGAAAAAUAAUUUUUAAAGCACUAAACUUUACCAUGUAGUAAUAGUUAAUUAAAAAGCCCCAUUUUCAAUAAAUUCUGCAAGAGAAAAUGCCAAGUCUUUAGCCGGAUGGUAAGUUACUACACCUCUGAAUUCAAUAAACUUGGAAAAAAUGGAUAAAAAUAGAGUCACUUCCUGUCAUAAAACUCCAAGAACCACGUGUAACUCUCUAUAAAAAAAAAAAAAAAGAAGCAAUAACUGACCGUCUAGUUCAGGUUUCUAACCACAUCUUGGGUUUAUAAGCCUUAUUUGGGGAGAAAUAGUCACAGUAGAAGCCGUUGCAUGUAUUUGUCUGGGCAAAAGUAAAACAGACAUACUAUUAGGGUAUUUAUUAUCCUCUACUUCUUGAACAUACUAUAAGGACAUUUAUAAAAGUAUAAGCUACGUUGUACUGGUCUAAUACAACUUGAAAAAUCUUAUUUUAUGUAUAUUGUGCUAUUUAAAUAAAUGAUCCCCAUUAAUUCUGAAUUUCACAUUAUCUACACCUUAAAUGAAGCAUAAGCUCAACUCAAUGCUAAGCUUAUAGGAAAUGUCUACAAGGCAUAAGCUAUUCAACAAGAUGCUUUUCAAUGUACUAAUCCUAGUUCACCACCUUGUACAUCACAUAUUAAAUAAAAUACUAUGACUUACCAUCAUUUUGAUGAUAAACUAUUAAUAUUAGCCUAUUAUAAAACGUGACUUACUAUCAUUAUCUAGUGAUAAGUUACUAAUGCCAUUAAUACACCAGGUACCAAUGUUAAGUAAUACAUGUAAAGCAUCUAACGAUUUUCUUAUUAUUUCAAAAAGUUGUCCAUAGCCCACUAGUACGAUUGCUGGAAAAGUAGUAGUUCAGUCUUAAAAUCUUGCCUCUUGCACACUACUUUGUCCGUUAGGGAACAAUGAAUCAAAGAAAAGCUCUGGAGAUUCUUUUUUAUUUUUAGAAAAAAAUAUUUAUGCACUUUGUUCGCUCAUUUGAAAAUGGUUUGGCUUUAUUUUACUGAGUAUUCAUCAUGGUCCACUGAAUGAUUCAAUGGGAACUUAGAUCUACUUAAUCAUGCAUAGCUACACACAAAUUAACAGUGGCAUUUUGUGAAGGUUCCAACAACAUUCGCUAAAUAAUGGUAGUUCUUCACAGUAGUGUCAAAGAUUUAGGAAUCUUUCUUAUCUCAAGGAUGUAAGGAAGGAUGAUCAAGGUGUUUCGUUCUAUUGUUGGGAAUGUAUUGACUAAUUCUAAUGCUAUAUGUUAAACUAAUUAAUCCAUAGCUUGAAAAUCAGUUUGUUGUGUUUGACAAAUAUGUUGAAAUAAUUGUCUCAAAGGCUGAGAAAUAUGUGUAAUACAUUGAAGCAAAUAUGUUGAAUCGAUCUCAAUUUGCUUUUGACAAAAAUGUAAUUUUUGAGGACAAAAUAGAGCCAUGAAUAGAUGAACACCCCUGAGGUUGUGGUGAAAGUCUUUAAUGCUUAAAUUUCUAUGAAAAUUAGUCUAAAAUCCAAAAUGCAUUUCUAUUAGCCAUCAAUGGAGAGUUCGAAGACAGGCCCUUUGUUCCCCUCCAAAGAAAAACCAGCAUAAAAAUAGGAAGUUAGAUAUAAGGGACUCUUCCAGUUUAGCAUAAUUUAACGCAAAAUUAAUCAUAUGCAGUAUAGCCCUAUUAAAGUUUUUCUCUUCGUGGAUGUAGGCUUGGUGAUUAAGCCGAACCACGUUAAUUCUUGUGUGUUGUUCAUCGUCAUGCUAGAUAUUGUUUUCUAUUAAAUUGUUGGUCUUUUCCUUUUCAAAAUAAUUGGCCUGAUACCCUAACAAGUGGUAUCAGAGCUCCGUUGGGGUUUUGGUUAAUUAUUUGAAAUUGAGUGGGUGGUAGUAUACCAUGGGAUUUGGAACUAUACAGUUUCCAAUUCAACCGUUUAAUGGAACUACAAGUUUCACUCUUUGGCAAAGAAGAGUGAAGGAUAUUCUAGUUCAACAAGGUUUGGCAAAAGCGUUGAAUGGAAAGAACAAGAAACCAGAGAGCAUGAAUGAUGAUGAGUUUGAAGAGUUGGACGCAAGGUGUGCGAGCACGAUUCGGCUUUAUGUGGCGGACAACAUCAUAAAUAAUGUGAUAGAUGAGGAAGAUUCUGCAGCAGACCUCUGGAAAAAAUUGGAAAAGCUUUAUCUGGCUAAAAGCUUAUCCAAUAAGUUGCAUCUAAAGCGGCAACUUUAUGCACUAAAGAUGGAGGAGGGUGGCAGUCUCAUGGAUCACAUGAAUACGUUCAACGGAAUUUUGGAUCAACUCCAAAAGGUUGGCGUGGAUAUUGAGGAAGAAGAUAAGGCCCUUUUACUUCUUAUCUCAGUCUCUGAUUCUUACGAAAGUGUCGUGACAACUCUGUUGUAUGGAAAUGACACUUUAGAGUUCGAGAAUGUGCAGUCUUCUUUGUUGGAUCAUGAAAAACAAAGAAAGGCAAACCAAGAUGUGACACUAGAAGCUGCUUUAAUUGCUCGAGGUGAGAAUAAAAGAGGAAAAUAAUUUGGCGGUGAAUCUAAGGCAGGUGGUUCAAAGGCCAAGAGAAAGGGUGGAAUCUAGUGUUUUGGUUGUCAUGAGUUUGGCCAUAUCAAAAGAUAUUGCCCUCAUCGAAAGAAAAAUGAUGAAAAUGACUAUGAUAAUGUUGCUGGAUAUGCAUCAGGUGGAGAUAUUCUCACAAUCUCCAAAGGUAAUAAUACUUCUUCUCGUGAUGGUUGGAUUUUAGAUUCUGGAUAUGUUUCACAUAUUUGCUCCAGGUUAGAUUAUUUUGAUACUCUCUAAAGAAAGAAGGCAGGUUUUAUGUCCUUGGGUGAUGGAUCUACUUGUCAAGUCAAAGGUAUUGGAGUGGUGAAAAUCAAAAUGUUGAAUGGCGAGAUUCGUUCUUUGGGUGGUGUGGCUUAUAUUCCAAAGCUACGAAGGAAUCUAAUUUCUUUGAGCCAGUUAGACUCCGAGGGUUACCAUUUUUUCCGCGGCAGGUGGAGUCUUAAAAAUCACACAUGACGAGACGGUCUUGUUAAUGGGGAAGAAGUAUGGUAAUUUGUACCAUUUGAAUACCUCAAUGGAUUGGGAGCGGAAGGGGAUCCAAGAAUGCUCUCAAAUUACAAAUGGUGGUGAGAGGAAAAAACCUGCUAUAGGAGAGGGUGAAUUGAGGCCCCUCUCGCGAGUCAACUAGAUGUUGGACUCGGUUAGCUACACACGUUCAUUUGCCGAUUGAAUCAAUUGAAAACAAGACCGUAUUGAUUCAGGUGUGUAGCUAGGCACCAAGGGACUUGGUGGGAAAAAGCAAAUGGAGUUUUUUUUGGAUGGUUUGCUGUGUUUGCUAAAAGAAAUUUUCGCCAAGGUGGAGAUUUGUUAGGAAAUUGGCUUAAUUUCUUUUGGGUAGAAUUCUUAUUUGGUGUGGAAAGUAACUAGUUUCCUACUUAGAUUUUAGUUACUUGAAGUAGUAGUCAAGUAAAGUCCUAUUUGGUUUAGAAUUAGAUGUUGUUUCCUACUCUAUAUGAGUUUAAGAAUUAGUAUUGGUUUCUAAUUGUUAUUUGGUUUUUUGGUCAAGUAAUGUUCUCUAUAAAUAGGUAGAUUGGCAUACUACAAAAAUACAAGAAAGGAGUGAGAGAGUUCUUAGUGGGUGAGAGGGUUAUACAAGAGUUGGGGCUUGGGAAUCAAGUUGUAAUCUUGUGGUGUUUUUCUCAUAGUAAGAAUAAGUUUUUCUCUCCGUGGAUGUAGGCUUGGUGAUUAAGCCGAACCACGUUAAUUCUUGUGUGUUAUUCAUCGUUCAUGGUAGAUAUUGUUUUCUAUUAAAUUGUUGGUCUUUUCCUUUUCAAAUAAUUGGCCUGAUACUCUAACAGAAGUCCCAUCCAUUCAUUUCAUUUCUCUUCCUUCCUUAUUAAAACUCCCAAAGGAAUCAAAUGGUAAGACUUUCUCUCGGGAUACUUUCUUUCCUGUCCUUUUCUCUCAAUCCAAAUGAAGCCCAACUCUGCAUGCGUUUAUCUGAGGUUGGAGCCUAACGACGUUACAUCUUCAUUUUGAUGGAGCCAGAGGAAUACCAGGGCAGUUGCCAUCUCUAGCUGGACUUUCUAAGCUCCAUCAUGUAACAGAGCUUAAGCCAUCUAGGUUGUUGAGAAUGCAGCCUCCUGAUUUCCCUUCAAAUAUCUGUUGCUUGUCUUUGAAAUGGACAUUCCUCAGGGAUGACCCAAUGCCAAUACUAUAGAAGUUGGGACAGCUGUCGUACCUCAAAAUGAAAGAUGCCUACCGAGGACAAUAACUAACCAUUUCUAGGAUAUGGCUUUCACCACUUGAAAUUCCUUGACCUCAGAGACCUAGAUUAUUUGGAUAAAAUAAAUGUGGAAAAAGCUGCAUUGCCACAACUCCAGUACCUGCGAAUCAGGGAAUGCAGCUCAUUAAGCAAGUCGCCGGAGGAGCUGAAGCACAUGUCCACUCUUGAUAAGAUUGAGCUUGUGAACAUGCAUGCCUGAAAGUUUUGUUAGUAGGCUUGAUGCAUGUGCGAGACCAGCACAAGGGCUCCGCUGCCCCUUACCUCAGAAUAUUUAGGGGUCGAAGAGCGUGGCAUAGAUCGAGCAGAAAAAAUUUGCCGGAACGAAUUGAAACUCACGCACGAGUCAUAAGGGCAGCUGUUCUUUUCCAAGCGGCUGGUUAACCAUCAUGAUGGUAACAUUAGAAAGCAAGGUGAAGUUUGCCAUCUUCAUUGCUUGUACCGAUUUCUCUCUAUUUAUUCCUUCUGGUUGCCAUCUUGAGGUCGCCGGUCCCGUGGACUAUAAUAACUUCAUUGUGUAUUUCUGGUUUUAUAUUUCUUGCUUUUUCAUCUUCAUUGUGUAUUUCUGGUUUUAUAUUUCUUGCUUUUUCAUCUCCGGUGAGGAGGCUCCUUAUGGUGUAUGUGCUGCAGGCUGAUUUUCAAUGCAAUAAAUCAAUGAAAUCAUUUCCCUCUUUUAUCAAAAUAAAUAUAUAACUAAAAUAUUCUCCAUUCAAUGUACUUACUUUGCCACUAUUUUACUCUUUAUUUUGUCCAUUUUAUAUAAUUCGGACCCUACUUAAGUCCUCUUUUUGGGUGAAAUGUCACACUUCAAGACCUGCUUUUUCAAUCUUCCUCCUAUUAAACAAAGAAUGGCAGUUGUAUGGCUAAUUUUUUUUUUUUUUUGGGAAAAUUAACGGUGUCUAUACCUAUAUCAAUUUACAUUCAAUAUAUCAUGGUGAUACGCUGAUACUAGUCUUAAUAAUCCAUGAACACUUGUGUCUUCAAGGCCUAUAAGUCCUGACACUAAAUUGUCAGCAUAUGGAAAUGUUUAAUUUAACAAAAAAAUAGAACGAAACAAAGGCCACCAUCCAUCCUGUCUAAAAACUGAAAAAAGAAGAAAAGGAAUCCAUGUAGAAGAGAAUAAAGGAUUAACCGUAGCAAACAAAUCAAGGAAUUCAUCCCUUCUAAACUGUUGGAUUAUCUGGAACUGAGGGUUCAUUAUUUCCUAUACACUACUGAAAACAUAAAGAUGUAAAACAAAAGACAACAAACUCAAAUGUGCGAAAAGGAAAUGACAAACUGUCCAUCUACAUUGCUUGGAAAUAAAGAUUGAAGAGGAAAAAUUUUGUGUUUUUUAAAGAUGGUACUUUACUUUCUAGCUACUAACACAGCACUCACAGUUGACAGAUUUGUCUGUCUAAAAUUACAUCAUACCUUCUCCGUUCAAGGAAGAUUAACCCACAGCUAAAGUUUAGGGAUACAUCCAAUAAGAAAUCUUUUCCUCUUAGUUUUACUCCAAAAAGAAAAACUAGUGAUAGCAUCUUUGUGUAAAUCACUGUCAUAAUAUUUGUGUAAAAGUGAUUGAGCAUUUUAUGCAGUGGCCAUAACAUACAAAAUUAAUUGCUCAUACAGAAUUAUAUAAAAGAAAUAAAUCUCAAAUGGAGCCUCCCUAUUUUUGAGCUGCGUUUCUUCUACAAAACUUUUAAAUUAAGAAGCAGUUUUAAUACCUGUUUUUAAACCCGUGAAAAUGGAACUUUUAAAGUAAGUUGUGUACUUCAAACUUACCAUCUUGAAUUAUUGAUAUUUUAUUGGAUACUUAAAUCUUUCCUUUUUCUUGACAAGUUUUUGAAUUUUCUAAAAACUAGUUCAAGUAAAGCUAAAACUUCUUUCAGAAAAAUCGAAAAAAAAAAAAGAAGCUAAAACUUUUAAUUUAGACAGAUAAAUAAAGGUAAAGAGUUAACUAGGAAAGGGCAAAAAAAGGAGUGAGUUCAAUUUUCUGAAAAUGAAGGCAUGUUAUUAUUUAAAAGAGUUAAGGGGGCAAAACAAAAAGAAAUUUGUUACAAUAAGGCAAUAUAAAAGUAAGUUUUUUUUUUAUCAGAAACGAUAUAUUUGUAUAACUUACUCUAUACUAAUCUAGGGAGGAAGGGGAGCCUAAGGAGGCUGUAGUAGGAGCUAGUAGAUAUACAGAUCCAACUAGAUCAAGAAAAUGUUAUGACACAACCUUAAAUUUUUUUCGUUGCAAAUGAGAUUUGAACCCUCACCUACAGCGUGAGGAGGGACUUAAUGGUGACCACUGAGCCAUUGGCCUGGUUAAGUCAAAUCGUCAAAAGACGCAAAACCGCCCAGGUACAAUGGUUCUCCAAUGAAAACAAAACAAAGCAAAACAAGAACUCUGUCACUCAACUGGACCCCAUUCGAGCCAAAUUGAACAUCUUUGACUAAGCACGAGUAUUAAGAAGAAACAAAAUUGAAAGUGAUAAUUUUAGUAUUUAUUUAAAAAAAUAAAAGGUUUAUCAGCAAAAUUUCUGAAGUGACAUAGUAGUAAUUGCGGUUCGAAGUUUAGGUAUAAAAACUCUACAUUUGAAAUUCGUUUAUCGCAAAUCAUUUAUUGGACAUAUCCUUCAAAGAUGGAGCGCCCAUAUGCAGUCAGAUUUCUGCAUUCGUUGUAAAAAUUAAAAGUUUAGUGUUUUUGGGUUAUGUUAGCAUCUACAUUGGAUAUUCUCAUUUUGUCUUCAAUAUUACAUUCUAGAUUUGUAUGUCUACGUCAUAGUUAUAAAAUCGGCUCCAUUCAAUCAUUCAACCGGUUAAUUUGAUGAAUUGGUCACUUAAUCAAGUUGGGUUAACAGUUAGAUUGAAUAGAGAAUAUAUUCAUUAACCUGUCAAUGACUCGAUGAAUCAAUCAAUAAAAUUAAAAAUCAUUGGUUGAACCACUAAUUUAAAAAAUCAAAAUAAUAUAAUAUAGUUACUAGUCGGGCUAAUCAAUCCAGAAUUGGACGAACAACCUGUUGAAAUGAUCACCUCUUUGAGUUGAGGUUCGAGUUAAAUGUUACAACUAUGGUCUACAUUAUCUCAAAUGUUAUUCUCCCAAUUAUUGUGGCCAAUUAUUGUGGAUUAAAUUCUUGUAUACAUUUAUGAAGACUACCUAGGUUGACUAGAACUGUAGAUGAAUAUUCUUUAAACGUUUGUUCCUUCCUAAAAUAUAUCCCUCGUAGAUCCGCAUUCUUUUUUACAACCUUCCUCAACCGUGCCAAAAUUUUAAAUAUUAAUGUUCGAAAUUGGCUCAAUUUUUUAAAAUUUAAAGAAAGUACAUCACCAUAAUAAGUUAAUAACAAGAUGUGAAAUGUUUUAUUGUCGAGUGAGAUCUACAAAACAGUGUUCUAAAAUUUUCUUAUUUUACAAAAUCAUUUAGGAUUGAAACAAAUCCAGACUCAUCUUUCUAAAUACAGAUAUUUGAUUCAUAAGUACUAAAAUUUGUAUAAAGUAUGAAUUUAAGAUACUGCCUCUUCCAAAAAUUUAAGACACGGGAACACUACUGUUUCCAAUACCUAACGUACGUUCCACAACGCCAAACCAGGGCUCCCACCGUUAUCGCAGCAAUUGCACCUUGCAAUUGUUGAUCGAUAUGAAUUUAACUUUCGAUUGGAUAAAUAAGAUCAAUACUAGAACACAACUUUAAAUAAGUAACACAAUUUGCUUUGAUUUUACAUAUUAUUAUCUUAUUAUGGAUAUAAUCAAAAUAAGUUAUUUGACUCGAACUCACGAGUAGUUUGAUCAAAAAUAAAUUUUGAUUAACUAUAAAGCUAAGCUUGAGAACAUGAACACAAGCUCUCAAGUUCGCUUGCCAUGGCCGUCAGUUGAUCUCAAAAUUCAUGUUUCUUGCUCACUCGAAUUCAAGUUUGAGCUUAAUUAGCAAAGAAAAAUGUUUUUCAAACUUGAGUAUAUAUGCUCACGUUUACGAUCAGAGUCUCUACAUCUAUACGAUACUUAAAGAGAGAGUAACAUUUGUAUGAUGUAAAGUGUAAACCCACACCUUUUUGAAAUUCUUAAUCAAUCCUCAAUUAUAAGAACAAAUUGGUUUCAAUCCAUUCAUAUGAACACAACUUCUCACAAUCAACAUAUAGUUAUCUCGUUGAGAUCUAAUUACAACUUCCGCACACUAAUCCUUUCACGGCUCUACUUUUUUUUCUAUCAUGUUUUUAAAUACAAUAACUUUCCCUAAAGUAGUGACUAUAGAAAUUUUAUAUACAAACAGACAUGUCUAAAUCUAAUAUGGCAUGUAACUUGAUAUGACAAAAAUAAUAAUAAUAUAUUUUCUUGCAAUAAGAACACACCUUAGUGUGUGUUGUGCGCCAAAAGCACUGGUUAUAUCAAUUUGCAAUUGGCUCGAGUAUUCUGGCACGAGAAGCCGAUCCUGGCUUUUAUAGCGUUUCAGUAUAUACUCCUUUCUUUCAGGCAGUCCAACUCCCACCCAUUCCACUUAGUCCCCACUCACCAAACUGCCACCAACAACAAAGCCGCCUCCUCUCCCCUCCUUCCUCGGCGGAUACCCAACGUUCACCUCAUUUCCCCCACCAACCCAUAUCUGCCUGCCUAUUUUCCUCCUUCACUUCUUCUACUUCGAUUCCAUCCAAGAAACCUCCAAAAAUGCAGGGCACAGCGAUUUCAUUCUCCCCUUCAAUUUCCCUCCCAAUAAACCGAAUUCAAUUUCCACACACCACCACAGAUUCCUUCUAUCUCCUCGCACUGAACUUCCUCUCCAUUUCAACCCUCUGCUGAAAACGCCGGCGGUUUCGUCCCGCAAGCUAAUUACGCCGAUUAAAUGCUCUUCCUCGGUGAAUCCGAUAAGUUCCGGAUGGAUUUCUGGCCCGCCUCCGGAGCCCGAAUCUGAUGACAAUGUUAAGGUUCGGGCCACUUCUGUGCCGAGAGCGCCCCCGGAAAGCCCGAAGGAAAAGCUUUGGUUGAUACUUUAGUGCUGGGACUUCUUUUUGGACUUUGGUAUCUGUUUAAUAUCUACUUCAAUAUCUAUAAUAAACAGGUGGGUUUGUUUAUUUUUUCGUUUAUGACAUUUUAAUUUUUUUUUGAAGCAAAUUUACGUUUAUGGAAAAUGAUUCCAUUUUUGUUAGUUUACUUUGAUCUAUACUUUUGGAAUGCAUUGAAGUUACUUUGAAAUGCAUAGUUGCACAAGAUUUUAUUUUCUGGGCAGUUCUGUAUGAGGGUCUGAUUUAUUGAAGUUAAUUUGGGAAAACACUUAUCUUUUAAAUUCUUAAAUUUAGAAUCUGUAGCUGAAAUCAAAUACUGAUUCUAAGACUACUAACAAUGACUUUUAAACUACGGGGCUACAUCUGAUUUGAUUCUUGAAGGAAAGAUAAUGUAUGUUGUUUUUUUUAAUGAAAUUGGGCAAUGAUACUGGAAUAUAAUUUAAUUUUGAAUGAUCUACCAUCUGACAAUAAGAAUAUGUUAAUCCCGAUGUGAAAUUAAGUUUGUAGUUCUCAUAUUAAAUGAAUUUAUUAGGAUUUUUACUUCAGUUAGUAGCAUUUAUAUUACCUUUUUCGUUUAUACUAGUUGAUAAUUUUUCCCCCUAGCAGGGAUGGAUGGGAUUUAAGAAGCGGGGAUUUCUAAUUUUUGGGGCCUCAACCUCAAAGAGUGUAUGAUAAGUUAUAAGUAGCUUGUACGAAUGAUUGUUUUGUAGCGAGUGUACGAUGGCAUUGUGUUCUAUAUACGUGAUGAUUGCGCUCUCUCUCUUGUUAUUAAAUUGCUGGAAAAGAGAAUAUAUAGAUUGCAGAUUCUGAGGUUGCUGUUGUUUUUGUAGGUCCUGAAAGUUUAUCCGUACCCAGUAACUGUUACUGUGGUUCAAUUUGCAGUUGGGACGGUCUUUGUUAUUUUUAUGUGGCUGUUCAAUCUAUACAAGCGGCCCAAGAUCACUGCUGGACAGGUAGUAUGAUACUGGUGUGGGAUUUGAUUCCUUUUACUAUUCUAUGUUGUCAAUAUGUUGAUGUGGGUUCUGAUUUUGAUGUUGGCAGCUUGCUGCUAUCCUACCAUUGGCAGUGGUUCAUGUGUUGGGCAACCUUUUCACGAACAUGAGCCUUGGAAAAGUCGCGGUUUCUUUCACUCACACUAUCAAAGCUAUGGAACCGUUCUUCUCAGUUGCCCUCUCUGCCAUGUUCUUAGGAGAGGUUUGCUUUUUCUUACGGCCUUUUGUCAAUUUCCCAGUUUCUUCUGUGGUAUUGAUUUGGUUGAUUUCUGAAAUUGUUUUAGGAUGACUCUUUAACGAAAUUUCUUUUGGCCAGCCUUAGAAUGAUAAAUUCUUUGAACACCUCAUUCCGGUGGUCUUUAUGUUUUAAAUACUGUUGGAGACUUUCAAUCAAUCUUUUCUGGAGUUUGAAUAGAUGUUUUCUGAACUACGGAAUAACUGUUCUAUUGAACCAUGAAUUUGGGACUCGUUCCACUUUAGUUACUUUUGCUAACUUACUUUUCCUGUUCAUGCAGAUGCCUACCAUAUGGGUAGUCUCAUCUCUUCUGCCAAUUAUGGGUGGAGUAGCACUGGCAUCUAUGACUGAGGCAUCCUUCAAUUGGUAAGAACUGUUGGUGCAUAUGCUCUAUUUAUGUCAUUUUGUUCUACAUCCUUCUUGUAUAAGUGCUGCUCUUUUAAGUUAUCUAAUCCAUAAUUCUUGUUUCACUUGCUAAAAGGGCUGGUUUUUGGAGUGCAAUGGCGUCAAAUUUGACUAAUCAAUCUCGAAAUGUCCUUAGCAAGAAAUUUAUGCUUAAGAAGGAGGUAUGAUUUUACUCUAGGUCCUUUAUGUUCAUAACUGGACGUAUUGUCAAGUCUGUAUUAAUUGGAAAAUCUGGUGCUUUCUCUUUGUUUCCCUGCAUUCUUUUAGUGUUUAUUACAGAAUUUCCUUUGUACUACUACUUAUAUCAUGAUGUGGUGACUUGUGCUUUCAUUUUCUUUUCCUGCCUUAAGUUUCCUAACAAAAGGUGGUUAACAGAGCUUGAAUUUCCUGUUGUUUGUGUGCAAAUUUUUGUUAAAUUAGAGAAUAACCAACAGCAUCUUCUUGUGCAGGAAUCAUUGGAUAAUAUCACCCUCUUUUCUAUAAUUACUAUCAUGUCUUUUUUCUUGUUGGCUCCGUUUGCUAUUUUCGCGGAAGGAAUCAAAUUCACUCCUGCUUUCCUGCAAUCUGCGGUGAGUAAUCCCCCCCCCCCUUCCUGGAAAUGCUUGGUGAUUGCUUUUUCUUCACCUUACAGAUAUUUUCCUCUGUUACAAUCAAUUGCAUUUCCUCCAUGCUGACAAGAAGAUUUGUUUGCUUGGCAGGAAUUGAAUGUCAGGCAGGUUUACACUAGGUCUCUCAUAGCUGCUCUGUGCUUCCAUGCAUAUCAACAGGUAUAAAUUGUCUUCUAUGUACAUUUUAAACCAGUAGGUCUCAUGUUAAUAAGCUUUCUGCACAUGAAUUGCAAUGAUACUACUGUUUUAGUCUAUUGGACCUAAAGAACCAAAUGCAGAAUUUUUAUAUACAUUGAAGGGAGUAAUGAGUUCAAAAAUGGCUAAUCUUAUGUCUCGCUGCUUGGUCCAUCUCCCCGCUUUUUAUUUAUUUUAUUAUUUUUUUGGGGGAAUCUUUAGCAGCACUCAAUUUGCUUUCCCCAAGUGAUUUUGCAUCUGCGCUGAUUGGUAUGUAUUGUUCAUCAUUCAUGAGAAAGAUAAAUAUUCUUUGGAUUGACUCUGGGAUCAAGAUCAAUCUGUUUAUUCUCAUUUAUUCUGUUUGCGGGUGCCAUUGAUUUAUUGAACUGGCAGAUUAACUUCAAAGAAAAUUAAUUGAACUGCAAACUAGACGUCUCUUAUUGUUCCCAUACCCAAGCGAAGACAAGAUCGUAAUAGACAUACUAGGAGAAUCCUUUGUGUCCAAGGCAUCAUUUCAUCAUUUCUUAGUUUUGGUUGUACUUCCUAAUUUUGGGUCAAAUAGCAGUCUUGGAACAUUUAUAAUUUGUUUUAGUCAUGAGUGAUCUGGAUGAUGUUCUAUAAGUCAGUUAAUAAUGUUAUCUCUGGGUACCGAGCAAAAGCAGAAAUUGGUGUUUACCUGCCCCUUGUUUUCCUACAUGUGGUCAGAUGUGCCAUAUUUCAUGUGUAACAUAAGCUUCUGUCUUUUCCUGGACUGUAAGUCCACUGAAACAUGGGAGAAGGCUUUUGACCAGAAAGGCCUUUAUUGAAACAGAAGCAUUUAUUUCUAAUACUGUGUAGGAUUUCUAGCCACAAUAUUUGGAAAUGUUGAACCAUGAUUGAACAUUUUCGCUAGUAGUGGAGUUGGGGAACCUUGGUUACUCUGAUGUUGAUCUUUUUACCUUGAGAUUUUGAGAUUCACUUUAUGUACUGCAGAUGUUUCUAAUUAGUGUGUUUUGGAAUCAUACUCUACUGGUGUUAACUUUGCCUCAUGCUAACACUUGUGAAGAAAAUAUUGCAAAAUCUCCAUAAUUGCUUGAAACUUUUCAUAGUAUCAUACAAUAACAAUAACAAUAACCUUCUCCAUUUGUAUUUUAUUUGUUGAAUUGCAUUUGUUUUAGAUGGACAAACAGUUAAAAAGGUUACACUAAAGAUAAAUACUUGAUUGAAAAGCAUGUCUAGAGAAUUUUAUAAAGUUCUUCAAAAUUUUGUCUGCCAUGCAACCACAAGAGAGUGUAGGAAUGAAGUUUGUCAAUCCACCCUUCACACUUUGCUUGGUUUACCUGUGUCUAAGUUUGUAGUGUUCCUAUGAUGUUUGAUGUAGUUUUGUAAGAAUAUAUCGCAACACUAACCAGUGAAAUAGUUAAAUUGUGAGAUGAAGUGACUAUCAGGAAUGGUAUAUGACAAAAUGGUUAACUUCUGCUGGUCCCUUGUUUCUUACCUGGCCUUUUGGAUUGACUAAAUUAUAUUUGUUUUUUGUAGAAUGCACCGAUGUGCUGCCAAUGUUCAUGCUUGUGAAAUUGAAUGGACUUUUUUGCAAAGUUUGUAUUGCUAGUGCCUUCUGAUUAGUGACCGAAAUACUCAAGCUCCUGGACUAACAUGCUUUUCUGUGGCUAUAAGUGGUAAGCUGAACUAGACAAAAGCUGUUGCUGGGAAGCAUGAAUGUGUAUUAAAAUCCUGUGACUGCAUAUUAGUUAUUCUGUAUCAUUUAUGAACUCUAAUUAAGCAUUGGGACUAUGCUGCAAUUAAAGAAACAUAGCAAAGAGGGAACCAAAUAGCAAGGGAAGAGACAUCCAGAAGCAAUUUGAGAGGAAUUGAAAUCUAAUCCAAGUUUCACUGGGCCUAGACAUGUACAUGCUGAGAGAGGGGAAGAAAGAGCAUGUGCAGCCUGAGUGUUGCCAGGUGUAGAAUAAGAUGCUCAUCAUUUAUCUGAAAAAGCUGUGGUAUAUAUAGCUCAGACUGAAAUCUUAAAAAAACUUAAAAGUUGGACAUCUGAGAUUUCUGGUGAUAUUCUUUUUCUGAGGACAUGAAAUAUUUUCUCCAUUCGUAUUAUGGUUACAUUGAUUUUAUCAACUGGCGAAAAAGUUCAUUUUAUUGAUGCUUAGAAGAGUUUAUUCUGCAGGUUUCUUACAUGAUAUUGCAGCGCGUAUCUCCUGUAACUCAUUCUGUGGGCAACUGUGUGAAGCGGGUUGUGGUGAUUGUCUCAUCUGUUCUAUUCUUUAGAACACCUGUUUCACCUAUUAAUUCUUUGGGUAUGGUUACCUACUCUUUUAAGUCCAGUAGCAGUGAACAUCUUUCACUUCUCUGAGUAUCUCCUUGCACAGAAACAGUCACACACACACACACACAAUAUCUCUCUCUCUCUCUCUCUGUGACGUCCCUUUGUGUGCUAGCGCGUAGUCAAAACAGAUAAUAAUUUCAAUCUUUGGUUUGACUGGCCAUUAUUUUAUUUUACCAAGUCUUUCAUCUUGAUUUUGCAGGCACUGGGAUUGCUCUUGCUGGAGUAUUCCUGUAUUCAAGAGCGAAGCGCAUUAAGCCCAAGCCAAAAACAGCUUAAGCUGUGCACUUUAAAGAGUUUUGUCGGUAAACGUUAUCUUUAGAUGAGAAAGCAAUAGCACAAAUUGGUCAGAUGUCUAGGCAGGAACUUUAUCCGAUUUUGCAGCUUUUUCAUUACGUUAAUUUUCUUCCUGGUACUCGUGUAUUCUUUUGCUGGAAAACUAAAUACAUCCCGGCUGCAAAUGCACUAUUCUGAUUUCACCAUAGUUUGUUGUGUUUUGCGCUAAAUGUAGUUGGUAAUAUUAUAAAUGUAGGAAGUGUUCUUCUCAACAUUCUGGUGAAUAUGACUCCGAAACCAUUUUGGGCUUUUCCUCAUGAAUGAGAAAAUAUGGCUGCUAUGAUUCCAUUUACUUUUUGAGUUAAAAGAAGAGAAAAGAAGAGGGAAACUGAGGUUAAAGAACAAAAGAAGAUUCCAUUCACUCUUUGAGUUAAUCUUAUUUAUAUUGAUCAUGUAUGCACUAUUAGAAUUAGAUGCAUGAUAUAUAUAUAAAUUUUUUAUUUCAAAUUCAGAUUAGUUGUUAUGCAUGGGUAUAUAUUGUCAGUUUGGGUGAAAGAUGAAAACUUAAAAAAAAAAGAGAAAAAAAAGUAGAGAGUCAAGAAUGCAGGCCAAAAAAAAAAAAGAUAUUGUUGGAUUGUCAUUUUUAAUACACUAAAUAAGAAAAGUAUAGACAGCUAAGACCAAAACUGUUUUUCAUUUUAUCAUAGACUCUUAGAUGCUUCGAAUAAUUUUGAAUUAAAGUAUGAACGUCUCUUAAAUUCCAAUUAGUUAAUAUCCUCACUAUUGUACUUUUUUAUCUUCGUCAACGAAAAAAUAAGAUAAAAGUUUAAGACCCAUCAAUUGUUGAAUAUAAUGGCAUCACAUUUAUUGAAUUUAUAUUGAUGUCGCAAGGUUUUAAAAAAGUAGUCAUGGCAAAUGGGUGGGAUGGUUGGACUAGAGUUGUCAAACGGGCAUUGUGGGCUAGAAUUUCAAGUUUGGCAACCUCAAGUUUCAUAAGAGGUUUUGGGUCAAGAGCUCUCACUUACCAAAAAAAAAAAAAAUUUGGAUUUGAUAGGAGGGAUGAGUUGAGUGGCUCAGGAAAGGAAGUAUAAGUGAAAAGUUUCGAUUUCAAAAUCUCUCAUUUAUGCUUGGUCAGAAAAAAAAAAGAAAAAAAAAUGGGGGGGGGGGGGGGGGGGAGGGAGCUUCAAGCUCAUAAUGUGUGGCCCACAUUUGUCUAAUAAAGAUACUUGCCCAUGAAUAGAUAGAUAUGGAUAUUUUAAGUUUUUGUAUACGAGUAUAAAUGGGUUACACAAUAAUACCCAUUUAAUAAAUAGCUAUUAUUGAUUAAUCUAUUAAAUCCAAUUAACUCAUUUAGAAUUGUCUUCCCCCAAACAUCCUCUCUUUGCCCCACCCAUUUUUUUUAAAAUUUUUCAUUUUGUCAUGAUGUUAACUACUUUUGUUUCAUUAUUAUUAUUAUUAUUUGUUGGUUUUAUCUUAUCAUUUUAAUUUUUCUUAGUUUGUUAACUUGCUCACUUUUAGCUUUACCAAUUUAUAACAAGUUUUAGCCUCUUUUCCUACCUUUUCUAAAUGAAAUUUUAAAUUUACACACUAAAAAAAUGCUAGAGGUUCAAAAUUUUUGAAUUAAGUUUUUAUGUUAACUUUUAUAGUACUUAGUUCAAAUUUUUAUAUUCUUAUUGUUUAAUUAUUAAAUAGUAUGUAAUUUUGCGACAUAGAGUACGAAUGGCAAAAAAAUUGAUAAUUAGGCUUAUUGAACAUUAUAAGUAAAUAUUUAAAACUAACAAUGUGUGCAAAGGGUGGUAUAAAUUCAUAACUUAGUUUGCAAAAAUGAAUUUAAAUGAGUUUACAAAAAAUUAAAAUAAAUGGGUUAUAAAUGGGUAAUUGGAUUACUCAAUUCAUUUUUUGAUUUAUCCAUUUAUUCCCAUUUAGUUAAAUGGGUAUAAAUAAGUUGACUUACUUAUACUCAUUACCUAUUUUAAUCAAUCCAAACCCGUCCAAAUCACCCAUUUUGGCACCUCUACUUAUAAGUUAUAUAUGAUGCUUAUAUAUAAAUUAUAAAUUAUAUACAUUAUAAUACAUAUAAUAUUUAAUGCAUAUAAAACUGUUUGGUCCGAGAUUUAAUCAGGUCAAACCUAAUAAAACACAACUCACUUCAAAAUUUAGUUAGGCCUAAAUAGAUGCCGACUCACUAAUAUAAAAGGUUUGGACCUAAACUUCUCAGGGUGAUCGGGCCAACCUCGGCUCCAUUGAUAGUCCUGGGUGGGACUCGAAUGAUAUUAGAAGAUAUGAGCUUAUGCACAAGCAAAUUAUGGCAUGAAAAGGUUACAAGAAAUUUCGAGUCCCAUGUUGAUCAUUCUGGAUUUGCCUUUGCAAAGAAUUUAAGGCUUUAUUUGGAUUGAGAAAUUUGGCGAAAGAUUUGAUUUUGAAAUUCAAUCAAAUCGCUUUAGGAAUUUGAUUUGCUUAAAAGUUAUUUGAAUUUAUAAUUUACUAAUUAUCUAAAUACAAUUUAAAUACUAGAAUAAUUGAUGAUUCACAAAUCUAAAUGCCUCCUAAAUAAUCUAAACAACUAAAGGAGUUUCAAAGAAUUUCAAAUCUUUCAUCAAAUCUCUCGAUCCAAACGUAACCUUAAAGUAAUUGAAACUUUUAUAGUUUAAACCAAGUAUCAUUGAUCUAAGCAAUAUAUUACCAAUAGCUUUUUUUUUUUUUCAUGUAACCAGUCAUAUGACCAAAUAAUCCUUUUAAAAACUUAAAAUACCUAAAAAAUUUAAAUUUCAUGUAAGUGGAAUGAAAAUAUGAAAUACAUAAACUACAAGUCUACAAGUGUAAUAGUUUUGAAGUGGUUAUUUCUGAGAUCUUAAACGUAUAAUGUAUUACAUGAAAUUAUUCUCCUUUGCAGCUUGAUUUUAAGUGUAAUUUUUUCCUCGUUUUCUAGUUGAUACCAAACAAAUAUAGGUUAAAAAGAGAAACUCAUUUCAAAGUCUAGAUAAAUUUAUGAGGGUGGAAAUCUAGUAACAAGAGAACAUAUACAUCUUUCAAUUCUAAUUCAUCAAAAUUAAGGAAGAAAGACAGAUUGCAUAUGUUUACAUAUUUUUAGUGGAGAUUAAUUAACUAAGAAAUAAAUUAAGCAACACACCUUGACAUCUGGCUCAAAUGAUCGUUGCAUCUUUCACUACACUGCUCUUAAACUCUCCUUUCAGCAUCUUAAUUAGCAAUCUGAAACAAUUUUUCCACCCCAAAUUUCUCUACAAAAAUAGAAUAGUCUCCUGCUUAUGCAUAUAUAGAAUGACUUUAAAAUUAAGCAUAUAUAUUUCAGAAGUCAAGAGAAACAUUUUUAGCAAACCUAAUUGAUAAUAUAAUAACUAUCAAAAUCUCAUCAAAUUUUUGGAUGUUUACCUAUCUCCUCAAGCGUCACUGCUCCUUCGCUGAUUUAGAUACGUUUUGACCUCCCCGUUUUUCCAUCAAAGAAGAGAGGUAUUAUUGGAAAUUACGAAAAGUUGUCAUUUUGGACAAGAAAUUUAGGAGAUUCAAGGGGAUAAGGUUACAGUCAGAUGAAUUUGCAACCACUACUGGAGUUUCAUUACUAGUAUAGCUCAACAAGCUGCCUGUUAUCAUUUUCUUCGAAUGGCUUGAACUCUAAAAAAUCCAUAAUCGAUCAUGGAAGAUCCAUUAAAGAAGGAAUCAAGAGGCAUAUUUAGUAGAUUGGAUUCAUACAUUAGGGUUGAAAGAUGAUCCGGUAAUAGUAAGUCAUCAAGGUGCUCAAAAUCUCGGAGAUUCAAAAUCCUUUUUCAAUUUGAGGUUCCAAGGAAUUGGUUGGCAAGGUAACUUGUUGAUUGCUAGCUGGUUGAUUGCUACAUUUUCUGUUCAACUCCACGACAAAGAAAAGAAGAUAACCAAAGAUAACCAAAUUCUGUAGUGUUUACUUCAUUCCCAACCGCCUUGCCUAAAUAGGUAAAAACCAGGUGGUACAUAUGUUAUUUAUUGCAUUUUGAGUCUAUUUGAGCUGUGCCUAACAGAAACACCUCUUCCUUGCAUUUAUUACGAUACCUUUUCCAGGAAUAUUGGAAUUGGAAUACUCUUAUUGAUAGAAAGAAACCCAGCUUUGAUUUUCACCAAAAAGAAAUAAAAAACUAUUCUUCUUGUUAUAUAAUUCUCAUGUAUGUGAAUAUGAAUCCAUUUUCUUCAAGAUUUUGAGAAAAUCUUGAAUACAAGGUUUUGUUUAAUUGUAGUUAAAGGCUUAUUUCAAGUGUCUUGACUGACUAAUUAAACUUAUCUAUGUUUCAACAUAAUUAUGCACAAAACCUGCACAAUCAAAGCACCAAGAAACAAAAAGUGAAAGCAACUAAAAUUUUUGGUACUAGCAAGUGUCAUUUUCUCAACAUUUCAAUGUUUUUGCAAUUUAUGCUAAUGUUUUUCCCUGUAGCAUGGGCCUUGAUUAAGAUCAUGCCUUCCUCCUCAGUGUGUGCAUCCUUCCAUACAGGACAAUGAAUAAGUAAAGGAAUUAGCAAGUGUAUUAAAUAACCUAAUUAUCAAAGUUGUUUCAUCUUUUGGCCUUUGAUUUCUACUAUAGGAAAUGAUAGAGCAAAAAGGGAAAAAUUUGUAGACUGGAGUAUUAAAAGUAUUAUUAGCAUAUUCUUAAUUUUAUAUGAAUUUCAAGAAAAAAAUCAUAUAAAAGAAUUUGAAAUUUCAGCAUCUUAACAAUUUGAGACAAUUUUCCCACCCCAAACUUCUUUACCAGAUGGAUUAGUAGCCUACUUAUGCAUAACCAUGAGGAUGAAAUCAAAAGUAAUGCAUAAAUAAUUGCAUAAAGAAAUAGAAACUUGUUUUACCAAACCUAGAUAAUAAAAUAAAAACUAUCAAAUAUUUUGGAAUAUCCAUCUUUUUUAAUGGUCAAUUGCUCCUUUAUUGAUUUAGAUAUUUUUUGAUCCCACUAGGCUUUUUUUUUUUUUUUUUAACAAUAAGACGAGAUGUUUGAUAGGGUGUUAAUUGUUAAUAAUUUUAUUGUUAAUUUCCCCCUUUGUCUUUGCCAAAUAUAGUUUUAAUUAUUAAUAUCUACUUAUAUUUGGUAUUUGAAUCAAUUUCAGGGAAUGGAACAAAAAAACACAAAAUAGAGGGACUUUCUGGAGAAAAUGAGACUUCUAAGGGCUUCACAAACCGGGCCCACAUGUGCUGAGAAGGAGACGGAUUUUUUUUUGCUUCUGGCUGAUUAAUACUUAAUAGCGGCUGACUAGGAGUCCUACUAGUGAUAGGAAACAAAAUAAGACGGAAGGCCUGGGUUGGUGCAGGAAAUUUUCUUUUUUUUUUCUUUUGGUUAUGCUUGUUCCUAAUUCAUGGGGACCACUGGAGAUAGCAUUAGUCAUCUUUCUUUUGGCCUUGAAAAGGUAUAAUCGCACAGAAGGCUAGGACGGCUCUUGAGCUUAGUCUUUAGCAUAGUUUUUAGUUUUCUUUCUUUUUCUUUGUCAGGCACGCUUACUGUUCGACAAUAUUUCCCAACAGGAAGAAUAUCUUUUACUUCUAGCUUUCUAAUGAAAAACGUGAUGUCUUUGCAAUCAAUUAAUUUGUGUGAAGAUUUAUUUAUACGGCGUGGCUAAGCCUGCUAUCUAGUCAAGGACAACUCGACGGCGCAGUCCGAAAAUUUGUGAGAUCUAAUUAGUUUUCAUGCGUUUCUCAAUUUGUUAAUAUUUGCACAUUGUCUACUUGAAUUUUCAUGGAUUAUUUUAUUAAUUGGAUGUCAAGGGCCCAAUGUUCAAUGUGAUUUAUUAAUCUCUUGCCAAAUUAGUCAAUUAAAUCCGUAAUUGUUUGAUUGAUUAGUAUUAGUGGCAACUGCGUGUUUACACACUAGGGAACGUGCAAUCUAAUUUAAAUAACCCUCGUAGCGUGUUAUUGAUUGGGGUUAGUUUUUUUAAUUAUUAAUGCAAUUGAAAAAUUAAUUCCUACGGUCGUACCUAGGAAUAUUUUCUGGUUAGGGGUAAUCAAUGGUCGUACUUUGGUUAUUAAUAAAUUAAGAAAAAUUGGUCGUUAGAGUUCGUCGGCUACUAUAACUAGUCUAUUAAUAAAUUAAGUGAACUUUCUUGUAUCAAUGAUCGGAUAAAUGGACUGUGUCUGAGUAGUUGUAUCCUUGGUUAGAAUUUAUCUAUUUUUGAUUUAAUUCUGCUAUAUUCGUGCUAGUUAAUUACUUAUUUUUAGUUGAAUUGCUUAAUUGUUUUUAGUUUCAGUCCGAUAAAAUCCCCUUUUACCAAUUGAAAUUUCAAAGACAAAUAUUUUCAGUCCCUGGGGAGACAAUCCUGCUUGUCACUGUCUAAUUUUUAGUAAUUUUGUCAAUUAAUUAAUUCUGGUAUAUCGGAUUAAGCAAACUCUUCGGGAACAAAGUGAAUCAAGUAACCCAUUGUACACCUAGAGUCCCUGUUCCAGUACCUAGGGUUAAUUAUUGACUGCUUUUAGUGGUAGUUAGGUUCUAUUUUUAUUAUUAUACAGGCUCGACACUGUCAAUUUUUGGCGCUGUUGCCGGGGGCUGGCGUUAAUUAUUUGCUUCUUUUUAAGUUCAUUUGUGUUCUAAUUUUUUGGUACUUUUCUAGUGCAUGCCUUGUUCUUCUCGUACAGGCGAAUUAAUUUUCGACCCUGAAGUAGAGAAGAUUGCCGCGUAGAACAAGAAAAGAGACCAGACAGCUCAGAAGGAGCACUCCAGUGCUGCAUCUCAGAGACCUGAGCCAGAAGUUGAACCAGCAGAUUCGUUUGGUGACACUUCGAGUGACUCGGAUCAAGAGGAAGUCACCAUGGCAAAUGCACAAAUACACUAAGGGAGUGGCUGCGCCUAAUUUAAAUCAGUAACCUUUGCAUUACUUUUCCAAGUUUAAAUGAUAACAUCUUUUGAGUUAAAAUUGACCUAAUUCAUCUCUUACCAUCUUUCUAUGGUUUACCAGGUGAGGAGCCGUAUAAACACUUGUAAGAGUUUGAUAUAGUUUGCAAUAGCAUGAAACCCCCGGAAUCACAGAAGAGCAGAUAAAAAUGAGGUCUUCCUCUCUUUGAAGGACUCUACGAAAGACUAGCUGUACUACCUAUCACCAGGUAGUAUUGUUACGUGGGACCAAUUGAAAAGAAAUUUUAGACAAAUAUUUUCCUGCGUCUCGAGCUGCAAGUCUAAGGAAGGAGAUCUGCGGUAUCAAACAACACCCAGGCGAGUUCUCUCUGAGUACUGGGAGAGGUUUAAGAAGUUGUGCAUCAAAUGCCCUCAACAUCAGAUAAGUGAGUAACUGCUCAUCCAAUAUUUCUAUGAGGGGCUACUCUUAGGGACAAGAGUAUAAUCGAUACUGCAAGUGGAGGGGCGUUAGUGAACAAAACUCCUCGGGCAGCAUGGGAGUUGAUUGAGGCGAUGGCUGAAAAUUUACAGCAGUUUGGUUCAAGAAGGAUGUCCCGACCUGUAGGGUGAAUGAGAUAGAAACAUCCUCCAUCCAACAAUUAGUUGUGGGAAGUGCUUCACAAGCCAAUGUGUGUGGGGUAUGUGCUGCCUUGGGUCAUUCUACAGAGAUGUGUCCACUAGUUCAAGAAGAAAAUGCAGAAUAAGUGAAUGUGCCAGUCACGCGCCCGCGCCAAGAAAGCAGUACGACCCUUACUCAAGUACCUCUAAUUCUGGUUGGAGAGAUCAUCCCAAACUCAGCUAUGGAGGGAACAGACAGUCCAAUUUCGUACCAAAUAGGCAACAAGGGUACCGACAGCAGUACCAACCUCACCCACCACCACCCCCUUCGAACUCAAGUCCGUCUAUGGAAGAGAUGAUAAAGCAACUACUCACAAAUCAAAAAAGACGGAUUCAGACUUGCAAAGCAUAAGGAAUUAAUUGGGACAAGUGCAAUCAUUGCAAACUCAAGUAAAUCAAAUGGUCAUCACGAUCAACGUUUGGAGUCCCAAAUUCAAGGGAAGUUGCCAUCUCAGCCUGAGUUGAAUCCAAAAAAUGUGAGUGCAAUGACCUUGAGAAGUGGCAAGGAAGUCAAAUGACUCGAACCGGUGAUUCCUAAGGACAAGGACAAGAAACGAAUCGAGAAAAAAUUGGAAGAGGAGGGCCGAGACAACGAGGAUUAAAAAGUACUCCCGGAUCUGAUUACUAGAGUUAAGACUAAUCCACCUCCCUUUCCUAGCAGGUUAGAGAAAUCAAAGAAGCAGAACAAGGAGAAAGAGUCCUGGAGAUCUUUCGUAAGGUGAAAAUCAACAUUCCCCUAUGGAUGCGAUCAAGCAAGUACCCAAUAUGCAAGGUUUUUGAGGAACUUGUGUGUCAACCGAAGGCGGUUGAAAGGAGAUGAGCGAGUGGUAGUGGGGAGAACGUGUCAGCAAUCUUAUAAAGGAAGUUUUUACCGAAAUGCGGGACCCAGGUAUAUUCACUAUUCCCUGUAGGAUAGUAAUACCUUGAUUGGUAAGCCCAUGUUAGACUUGGGAGCGUCGAUAAAUGUCAUACCAAAGUCCAUAUAUGCUUUUUUGCAUUUAGGUCUUGAAAAGAGACUGGAAUAAUAAUCCAACUGGCUGACCGAACCAAUGCAUACCCUGACGGGUUGAUUGAAGAUAUUUUAGUAAAAAUUAAUGAAUUGGUUUUUCCAACUGAUUUUUAUGUGCUUGAUAUGGAUGAUGAACACUCCCACGACCUCUCACUUUUAUUGUUGGGUAGACCUUUUUAGCACAACCCGAACCAAAUUUGAUGUAAACAAGGGUACUUUGUCUAUGAAAUUUGAUGGCAAGAUUGUUCAUUUUUAACAUUUUUGAAAUCAUGAAAUAUCCGUUAGAUUCAAAUGUUAUCUCCGUUUUCUCUGUAAAUGUUGUUGAGCCUGCGGUACAGGAGGUUUUUUAAAUUGAAAGCAGGGAUGAGUUGGAAGUUGUCUUGACCAGGCACUUCGAGUCAGAAUGACCUCUCAAUGGGAUGUCGUCUUCUACGACUUGCACUCGACUCAAGUGAUAUGCUACCAAAUUUUUCGCCCUUUUUUGUCUGUGAUCUCCAGGUCAAAAUCUUGUAGCAAUAGUAUCCACUUAUAAGUCGCGAUUUUGCCUCUUUCUUGGUCAACAGAUACCGCAUUGCUGCAAUUAGAAAAAAUAAUAACUUUAGCACCUAGUAAAUAAGACCUGAAUUUCUCUAAAGCAAAAACUACUGCCAAAAUCUCCUUUUUAGUGGUAGAAUAGUUUAAUUGAGCUCCGUUCAAGGCUUGAGAUGCGUAGUAUAUAACAUGGGCUGCCUUUCCUACUCUUUGACCCAGCACCGCACCCACGGCAUGAUUGCUGGCAUCGCACAUGAUCUCGAAUGGUAAGUUCCAGUCCGGAGGUUGGAUAAUAGGUGCACAUUAAGUUCGAUGAAGCAUGUAAGGGGGCGUUUGAUAGGUUGAAAGAUCAAUUAAACGGAGCUCAAUUAAACUAUUCUACCACUGAAAAGGAGAUUUUGGCAGUAGUUUUUGCUUUAAAGAAAUUCAGGUCUUAUUUACUAGGUGCUAAAGUUAUUAUUUUUUCUAAUCAUGCAGCAAUGCGGUAUCUGUUGACCAAGAAAGAGGCAAAACCGCGACUUAUAAGGUGGAUACUAUUGCUACAAGAUUUUGACCUGGAGAUCGAGACAAGAAAGGGCGAAAAAUCUGGUAGUAGAUCACUUGAGUCGAGUACAAGUCGUAAAAGACGACAUCUCAUUGAGAGAAACCUUUCCCGAUGAGCAUUUAUUUUUUGUUAAUUUAUCUUUGCCUUGGUAUGCGGAUAUUUAAAUUUUCUAGUCACUGACAAGUUCCCUGCAGGAUGGUCUAAGGCAAAGAGGUACAAGUUAAGGAGUGAUGCAAAGUCUUAUAUUUAGGAUGAUUCUUACUUCUGGAAGCGUGGUGCUGACCAAAUCAUCUGAAGAUGUGUAAGUGAACUUGAAUUCCAAUCUAUUUUAACUUAUUGUCACUCUUUUGCGUGUGGAGAUUACUUUGACCAAAGAGAAUGGCUUGUAAGGUGCUAGAAAGCGGGUUUUAUUGGCCGACCCUCUCCAAGGAUGCAUACUCAUAUUUGUAAGUUAUUGAUAAGUGUCAACGAGUAGGUAAUAUUCUCGUAUCGAUCAAAUGACCAAACCCAAUGAUUUUUGUUGAAAUCUUUUACGUUUGGGGUAUUGACUUUAUGAGUCAUUUUCUUCGUCUUAUGGUUUCUAUAUAUAUUGCUUGCCGUAGACUAUGUUUCGAAAUGGGUGGAAGCAAAAGUCACCCGUACUAAUGAUUCAAAGUGAUUGCAGAAUUCGUAAGAUCUAAUAUUUUUGUCCGCUUUGGGAUGCCGCGAGCUAUUAUAAGUGAUCGGAGUACCCAUUUCUGCAACAAGACGGCUGCACUUUUUAGGAGGUAUGACGUUUUACAUAAGGUAUCUACAUCCUACCAUCCUCAAACAAAUGGUCAGGCGGAAGCAUCAAACCGAGAGAUCAAGUCGAUUUUGGAGAAAAUGGUUCGACUUGAUAGGAAGGAUUGGAGUAUGAGGCUUGAAGAUGCCUUAUGGGCAUAUAGAACGGCGUACAAGAUGCCCAUUGGCAUGUCCUCUUAUCGUUUGGUAUUUGGGAAGCCAUGUCACCUCCCCGUCGAGUUCGAGCAUAGAGUAUUUUGGGCUGUAAAACAGUGCAAUGUGGACAUCGAGGAAGGCGAAAUUCAAAAAAGUUGCAAUUACAAGAAUUGGAGGAGAUUCGAAAUGAAGCACAUGAGAAUGCGGUGAUUUAUAAGGAGAAAAAUAAGAUUUUUCAUGACCAGCAAAGCUCUAGGAAGACGUUCGAAUGUGAGCAAAAAGUUCUACUGUACCAUUCCAAAUUGAAGUUAUUUCCAGAUAAAUUACGUUCUCGUUGGAUUGGUCCUUUUGUUGUGACUAAUAUCUUUCAUUAUAGUGCAGUGGAGAUCCAAAGUUUGAAAACGGAGAAGAAAUUUAUAUUGAAUGGUCACCGUUUUAAACCGUAUUAUGAAGGGUUUCCGGUUGAACGGGUGGAGAUGAUGCAAUUGGAAGACCCGACUUGCUUAGUUUAAGCAAAUUUUAGGUUAUGUCUAGCCAAAGACAUUAUAAAAAGGUGCUCUUUAGGAGGCAAGCCAAAUAUUAAUUUUCUCAUUUUAAUUGUUCAAUUCUUUAAUCAUGUCGUUUCCCAUUUGGGUAGUAAUCGGUUUUAAUGUUUUCCUCUACUUUGACCAAGACAGGAAUCUUGGCGUGCCAACGCGGUGAGGGCACGCGAAAGUGAUCCAGGUCAGUGGACGUUUGCCAAUUUUGGCGUGCCGCGCCAUGUUGAUCAAACCUAAACACCUCGCGACGAUUGGCAGGAAAUGAAAUCUUAACGUGCCGCGCGUGAGAAGGGCACGCAAAAGUGACUCAAGGUCAGUGGACGUUUUAUAAUCUUGGCGUGUCCACGCGGUGUUUGACGACCCUAAAAUGAAUUAAAAAAAAAUAAUAAAAAAAUAUAAAAAAUAUAAAAAAUUUUUGUUAUUACUGUUGCAAGAAAAAGGAAGGAUUAUUUUCUUUUUAAACCCUAAAAAAUUUAAUUAAUUAAAAUUUAAAAAUUUUUUAAAAAUUAAGAAAAUCUAUAAAAAAAAGGAGAAAAUAAAAAAAAGAAAAAUUUUGGUCGAUUAAUAUUUGAAUAAUUUUGAAAAAAAUAGAAAUAAAAUAAAAACCCAAAAGAAAAAAAUAAAAUAAUUUUUUCCCUUUUCUCUUUUCUCUUUUCUUUUUUUUUCUUUCUUUUCUUCUUUUUUCUUUCUUUUUUUCUUCUUUUUUCUUUUCUUUCCUUUCUUUCUUUCUUUCUUUCUUCUUUUUCUUUCUUCUCCCUUCUUCCCCGCUGCUUUCCCUUUUCCCUUCUUUUCUUCUUCGAUCUCACUCCCAAGCCGCCGCUGCUGCCAUCGACGCCGCCUCGCGCACCACCAAGCGCGACAGCCGCGCGCCGCCCCUUUCUCCCUGCUGCUCUCCACGCGCGCCUCCAUCCAGCAGCUGCCACCGCCAGCUCUGCGCGAGCUCCACUCCAGAGCACGCCAGUCCCUGCCACCAGCUCUCCAGCCGCCGCCAAGCUCCGAGCUCCACCUCGCGGUCCAUCACUCACCUCGCACCCCAGCUCUCCCUCCGCCUCGCUCUCACUCACCUCUCGCCACCUGAGGCCCACCAAGCAGCCGCGCGCCACCAACUUCACAUCGCUCGCCGCCGCUCGCCGUGGCCUCCUUCUUCACCCCAGCCCAAGCUCGCUCCUCCCUCUCUCUCCCCCACCUCAGCUCAACCUCCAACCAGCCGCCGCCACCUGCUACACCGCUCCUCCAACCUCGCGCGCCCCCACUGACCUCCUCCUCCACCAGCUCCACGACGACGCCGCCUCUCCUUCGCUCCACCCUCGGUCUCGCUCCUCCCCACCUAGCUUGCCGUCCCAACUGCCGGGCGGCGCUGCUCACGCCACCCACAGCCACGCCAUUCCACCUGUCAAAAUUGACAGGUGGAGGUAUUGAAUCUUCAACCUCGAUUAGUAUUUUUCUGGUUCUUCUAUUGCUGGAAUUUGCGCGCUUUUGUUUCUUGGGUUUCUUGAUAGCUAAUAGCAGGGGGUGAUUUAGGCAUUUUCUGGGGUUAAUUUUGGUGGAACUAAGUUUAUUUGCUGCUCCAUUUUGGGAUAUUCUCUGGUAUUGAUUACAUUGUUGAAUAUUGUUUGGGUUUUGACUACUUGAAGCUUCUAUUUUCAUAUGUGGGGAUCAAAUUUGAGUUGACUAUUUGAUUUAAUUUUUCCCUUUGCAUUCAGCAGUGGUACUGGCGAUGGUAGUUGUUUAACAUUUGUUAAUCCGGAGUUAUUGGUUGCCUGAUUGAUCGAGUUGUGACUACUGGGCAUUUGUGAUUGUGUUGCCUAGUCCAACUUCUGAACUGUGGUUGCUGGUUUUGUUGGUUUCUUGGGUCAUUUGCUAAUUUUGGUAGGUUUAAUUGGAUAUUUGACUGUCCAAUUGGAGACAGUUGUUGAGAUUUUGGAUGGUCUUGUGUCCAAUUGCUGAAAUUUGUUCUUUUGAUUAGCCAAUGGCACCACUCUGAGUUUGUUAGACUUGUUGUUUUGGUGCAUUGUUGGGAGCUGUACUCUGGUAUUGUGGGUCCUUUUCUGCGCCUGUUUGCUGAAUUGGGAUAUAACUGUGACUUUGCAUUUGCUUAUUAAAGUGGGUUGCCUCUAAUUGCCUUGUGUGAAAGUAUUUUGUCUUGUCAUUUCAAUUACUUAGUUCAUUGGAACAUCUGCUGCAAUUUUGGGUUGCCUGCUAGUUACCAUGGUAAAGCCACGGUCCUCUUCUAGGUCUAGGACCCCUAGGACUUCUCAGCCUCCCCCACCCCAGUCCUCCAUUCCUGCCUCUAACCCCUCGCACGAACCUUCUUCCUCUGGGAGGAGGGCUCGCCUUGGGCGGCAGAGAGGCGUCCAUAUCUCUGACCCUACACAUUUUGGGAGUAAUUUGGACUUCACCAAUCCCGCCGAUAGGCAACGGUAUGCUAGCUGUUGUGAACGGCGGAUUAUUCCCUGUCGCUAUCGGGAUACCGCCACCUUGGGUCUUCUAAAUAUUAGAGUUGAUUUUGACAGGUUGAUUGAGGCCAUUGGAUGGCUUCCCUAUCCUCGUAUUCUUGACCGCCCGGCCUUUGUUGAGUUAGUUAGGGAGUUCUAUGCCACAUUUGAGUUCAACCUCCCCACUGGUUACACAGUUUCUACCCCCAAUGUCAUCUGUUUCCGCUUGAUGGGUCAGGAGUUCCACCAUUCCAUUACUGACUUCAACUUAGCCUUUGGUUUUAUUGAUCCAGCCUAUGCUGAGUCUCGUGAGUAUGUCGAGAGUGCGUGUGACUACAUAGAGCCUUUUUUCUCCCGCUAUCGGUAUAUUUGGGAGGAUAUGUCUGUCGACUGUGCUGAGUAUGACCCCCGCCAUUCUAAGAGUUGUUAUCUUAAGGACCCGGCGUCUCGCUAUAUCCAGCGCUUCUUGCCUAUAGUUUUUCGGGUAGGCGAGAUAGCUCGGGCAUUUUGUCUAAGCCGGAGUUUUUCUUUAUUUGGUGCAUGCAUAAUAACAUCAAGGUUAACUUGGGGUGCUGGCUCGCUUCUCAGUUUAAAUCUGUUUUGCCUAAAAAGAAGCGCCCCCUGAUUCUUGGGUCCUAUAUUACUCAUUUGGCUGUUAAUUUGCAUCUGCUUGAUCUCUCUAACCAUGAUUUGCAUGUAGCAUGUCAAAUGGAGCCCUUAGACAUUCCUUGUCUAGAGAAAAUGGGCUUGGUACAGGAGGGUGACGACGGGUGGGAGGUUGUUCCCCGGGACCGAUUCGUGUCCUCCCUCGUUCCUCUUUUGCUCGUUCUUCUACUGCUGGCGGUGAUCCUGGCCCGUCUACCUCCGCUCCGCCUCCUCCUACCCCAGGGGCCGACGACUGGCUCGAACUCCGGAACACAGUUGAGAGACUGGAGACUCGAGUGACCAACAUUAGCAUCAACUUGAAUAACAUGGCGCAGAAUUUGGCAGCAUUUAUGCAUCAUGUAGGCCUUGCUCCUCAAUUUCGACCUGAGCCGCCCCUGUUUUGAUGACUUCAGGGGAGUACCGUUGCCCUUCUCCUUCCUUCUGCUUUUACAUUAUAACAUUGAGGGCAAUGUGUGAAUUAGGUGUGGGGGGGAUCGUUGUGGUGCUAGUUUUUCCAGUUUUUAGUCUCUAGAGGUUGUUCCUUUAUGUUUAGUUUGUUUUUGCCUAUCUUUCAUUUAUUUUCUUUACUUUUUUUUCUAGUGAUCAGUUCUUAUAUGAAUACCAAGUUUUGAUCUGGGGUUGUUGUCUCUAAUUCUGAUAUUGCCAAGUUUUAGUAAUAAAAGGGUAUCAAGUUAUUGUGGUUGAGUUCAGGAACAUUUUUUUGGUGAAUAUCAGUAAUUGCUUGACUUUUCCAAUUUUUGGUUAACUUUUCUAGGUAUAGGGAAUGAUUGUUGGCAUUUUUCAUGUGAAUUGGUCCAGUUAUUAAUUUUAGUUCUCUAUGUUUGGAAAUUUGACGCUGGCUGCUGUUAUUUUUGUGUUGUUUUUAGAUAUUGUGCUAUAUGAUUGUAAAUAAGAGUUGACUGUACUCCGCUAGUUGUUACUACUGAGUAACCGGGGAUUUUCACCUAAAGUGUCGAUUCUCGCGUCAAAAGGUAGUGAUUUCUAUGAGUACGUGGUCAUAUAGCGAUAGGAGUUGAGUAACCGGACUCCUUCAUUUGACAAAUGUUGGAGUUCGCGUCAAAAAGCUCUAAUGGCUAGAGACUAAGUCUUUUGCUAUGCUCAAAAAAAAAAAAAGAGAAAAUAGGAAAGUGCGAAAAAAAAGAAAAGUGAAGGUUGUGUUAGUAAGUGAUAAAAGUCAGCUUGCCGAUUUGUGGAGUUAAUGUUGAGAUUUUGGUUAAUAGUUGGACCAUUGGCUGAUAAAUGUGAGCAAUCAUUCCUUUUCUUAGAUUAGUUUGCUUUAAAUUGGAGGAGUUGGUGGUUUAGAAGCUAACUAGAGUGAUUUUUCUUUGAUCUUGACCUGUGAUACUUGAUAUAUGUUUUCCUGGGUAUCUUGGCAAUACGGUAGUUGGAGCAAUAGCCAUUGUCGAAUUUUGGUGUUCAAUUGCUGUCCCAUGCUUGAGGGCAAGCAUGAUUUAGAUGUGGGGGGAAUUGAUAGGGUGUUAAUUGUUAGUAAUUUUAUUGUUAAUUUUCCCCUUUGUCUUUGCCAAAUAUUGUUUUAAUUGUUAAUAUCUACUUAUAUUUGGUAUUUGGACUCAAUUUCAGGGAGUGGAAUAGAAAAGCACAAAAUAGGAGGGACUUUUUGGAGAAAAUGAAAACUUCUAAGGGCUUCACUAACCGGGCCCACAUGGUGCUGAGAAGGAGACGAAUUUCCUUUUUGCUUCUGGCUGAUUAAUA